This 72758-nucleotide long non-coding RNA is filed under the name Populus tremula. Its description in RNAcentral is "long non-coding RNA (PTRE_LNC001031)". The record is from RNAcentral. Lineage: Eukaryota; Viridiplantae; Streptophyta; Magnoliopsida; Malpighiales; Salicaceae.
ACAAAAUCACUUGAAAACAAAAUAGGUGCAGUAAAUUAUUUUGGCAAAAUAUAGCAUGACCAGCCUCUUUUGCAGAGUUGGCAUACACAAUGAAAGUGGAUGAAAAAUGUGAUGUUUAUAGCUUUGGAGUAUUAACAUUGGAAGUAAUGAUGGGAAAGCAUCCUGGCGAUUUCAUCUCAUCUCUGAUGUUUUCUGCUUCCACCUCCUCAUCAUCACCAAGCGGUCACAAUACACUCUUGAAGGAUGUUUUAGACCAGCGCCUGCCACCUCCUGAAAACGAGCUUGCGGACGGUGUGGCACACGUUGCAAAACUAGCGUUUGCUUGCUUGCAGACCGAUCCCCAUUAUCGGCCAACAAUGCGACAAGUUUCUACAGAGCUUACAACUCGUUCGCCACCAUUGCCAAAGCUAUUCUCCACGAUAGAAUUGGAAGAUGAACUGGUUCGCAGGAAUGUUAAAGGUUGAAUUUUUACAUAUACUUUCCUGUCAAGGAUCCAGGAGCUCAGCUGGUAAUAGAGUCCCACACCUUUCAUGAGGUGUUAUUAUCUGUCUUGGAUAUUCAGUCCAAAGUCUUACAUUUCGUCUAUUUAUUGUGUAUAUUAUAUGCAGAAACAAGAAACAGAGUUUUCCCAUUUCGAGCGUAAAUUCGCCAGGUGAAAUAUUUCACAUAUUUUUAGUUUUCUUUAGCAACAAUGGAAGAAAUCAACAUAUUUUCUCCUUUUUUUGUUUUCCAAUAAACGAUAAUGAAUUAUAAUAAGCUCUUGAUUUUAUUUUUUAAUUGGUAAUGAUAAUAAGCUUCUUUCAAUAUUGCCAAAUCAGUAAUACAACUAAAAAUCUUGAUGAUAUAAUAAAAACCACUCCCUUUCAUUUCCACAAUUAAAACAAACUUGUCCUAAAAGAAGUGGCCACUGCUUUCUGUUUUCUUAAAUAAUUGACAAAAUUUCCAAAUUUGAGAUUUCAUAGCGAAUAUCACCAGUUUUUUUUUUUUUUUUCAAAAGAAACUUCACUUCAAGAACGGCAAGCUAUAGUUGUCUAGCUACAAGCAAUUGAAUAUUCCUUCUUCUCUGUAACUAUUCAAAAGGAAAUUUUAGACAACAUAUCACGUAACUAUUCAUACACACACACACACACACAUAUAUGCACUCUUGUUGACUGAAAAAGACAACCACAACCAUAGCAUCAUUACCUAAGAAACCUUUCCCUGCUAAUCAGAUUCUUCUCGCAAGCAGGUGGCAAAACAAAAUUUAAUUAUCUAUUAUUCAUAUAUAAUAAAUUAUUUAAUAAUUUAAUUAUAUGUAUCAUGUUUUAAUUUAAAUAUUGUGAUAUCUAUUAUUACUAUAUUUAUUUUAUUUUCUUUAUUAAUUAUUUUCAAACAGAAAUAGUAAUAUCUCUUACACUCAUUAAAAAUACAUAACUCAAAUUUUAUAAAUUUUAAUAGUUUUUCAUAACCGGCGCUUAAAAUUUUUUAUUGAUUAAAAUUGAAUUUAAAUUGAAUAUUAUAAAACUAAAAUAAAAAAUAAAUACUGUAUUUAUUUUCUCGGUAUUUAUUGAAUUUAAAUUCUUAAUUAUUAUUUAUUUUUGAAAAACAAACUAUUUUAUCACUUAAUUUUUUAUAAAAAAUAUUUGCUUAAAAUUAAUAAGGGUGAAAAUAAUACAUAAUUUAACUUUAAUAAUAUCAUAAUGUUUUGACAAUUUGAAGUAUCUUGGUAUUCUUUGAUUUAAUUCGAGAGAUAAUUUUUUGUUUUAUUUGUUUCUGCUUUUACAUGUAGUUCAAGGGAUAUUUUUAGGUUGAAUGGUUGUUUAAAUUGAUGUUAGAGUUUACAUUUUUAAAUUGAAUAAUUAUUUUACAAUAAAUUUAAAACAUGAGGGUGAAUGUGAGAUGAUGUGUAACGACUACCAGACCUCACAACAUCAUCUACUGGAUCUUCAAGUUGAAUUUAUGUUCCCAGAAAUCAAAGAUGACCUUCACAUGCUAUCAGACAAUUUCGCCAUUGACAAUAGCAUCAGUUCAGAGUCUAAUGUAUGGGAAAAAAAUUGUGCAGCAAGGAUUUGGAUCUACCAGUGGAGUUGCUGUUCCCAGAAAUCAAAUAUGGUCUUCUCACGUCAGCAGACAGCCCUUCCAUUGGUAACAGCAUCAGUGCAGCGUGUAAUGCAUUGGAAAAGAAUUGUGAAGCACAAAUUUUGACAUAACAGGGGCAUCAAUUGAUCAGACAAAUCCUGCUCACCACAUGGUACUUAGAAGGAGUAGAAGAAAAGUUAAACUUCAAUCCAAAACCGGCAGCAUUCAAGAAACAGUGCAAAUGAUGGUUCUUGGACAUUGUUGCCUUGUUUAUUCGCCACCUUCAUGACAUCAAAUAUAUGGAAUAGUACUGGCUUCAAUGUUGAUACAGGGGGCUUCAACAACAAUAUCCAUUGUCUGGCAAGGUUUGUUUUUCUUGUCCCGCCAUAUUGUUGAAUUGAUGGGUCUGGAUAUACUCCUGAACACAAGAAGUUCAAUGCUUCUUCGAACAUGUAUUGCAUACGAGCUAUUGAUCUGAAGUCAGUGGCCCAUAACUCGCAUUUCUAUCCAAAUUAUUUUUGAUUGGGUGACUGGCCAUCUCCCAUUUAACUAUCAUAUUUAAAUUCUGAACUGAACCAAGGUCUACUGCAUUUGCUACUAAUCAUGGUAUAUUCUGUUAUGAGGUCUUAAGAGGAAGUAUUUAACUCUUCUUGCCUUCUCUGUCUCACCCGCCGGGAAACUUUAUUCACAGUUAAUUUAGUAGGGUCAUGCAUUUGCCAUUUUUGUACUCCUAGUAAAUGAAAUGGUUUCUAUUAUCCAUUAUUAAUAUUAUAUUUUUCCUUACAAUUGAAUAUUCUUUGCAGGUGCAUGAGUGCUGUGAUUGCUGGCAGUGAGUUAGUGAGAUUGGAACGCGAACAUCAGCAGAGACAACAGUCUCUCUCUAAUGGCCAUCUUGAUGAGGCUUUGGAUCCUGAAAUACAUAGCCGUUUGUCUGCUGAAGCAAGUAUAAAGUCUGGAAUGCAGCUUUUUGUCAAAUUUGCAACUGGUAUUGUGCUAGAUUCUUGGAGUGAAGCCAAUAGGUAAACGUGGAAUGCCUGUCAUGCCCCUCACAUAAAUACACAGACAUGCACACAAGUUGCAUAUUUUCGUCGAUUUUUGCUUGCAUAAAAUCUCAUGGUAAUUAUUUUAAACCACAAGCAUCAUUCCUUAAAAACUCGAGUUAAAUCUCUAGGGUGGCUCCAUCAAUAAUUCUUUCAGUUCAAAUACUGAGAAAGGAAUGUUGAUCUGAAUAGUCUAUUUGAUUAUCUUUAUGACAUUUGUUUCCUUUCUCAUCAUUUCAUGUAUCUCAAUCUCCAUCUCCCCUUUCUGUGCAGAUCUAAUCUUGUAGCAAAGCUGAUUUUCUUGGACCAACUUUGUGAGAUCUCACCUUAUCUUCCAAGAAGCUCCCUCGAAGCCUAUGUUCCGUACGCAAUUCUCCGUUCAAUUUAUAGCCAGUACUACUCAAAUUCUCCAUCCAUGCCUCUGGCACUACUAAGUGUCUCAUCCCGCCAUUCACCUGCUGUAUCACUAUCUCACACAUCUCCUGCAGUGAAGCAGCCUCGUGGAGACUCAACACCACAGCAUGGUGUUAAUGAUUCAGGUUAUUUUAAGGGGUCAUCAUCCCAUAACCAGAACCAUUUGUACGAUAUGGAUAGAGGAAGCCUUCGCAGCACGGAUAAUAAACAUCGAAAUGUUCGCCGCUCUGGGCCUUUGGAUUAUAGUUCAAGCAGGUCGUAGGCUCAGCUUAUGGGAGCACAGGUCGUAGCCCACUACCACGGUUUGCUGUCUCAAGAUCCGGGCCUUUAAUGUAUAAGUAGAAAACGGUGAAAAUGGCAGGGUCAGGAGUGUUGAUAAAUUAUCAGCUCCUCGUCAAUCAGACAAGUUUUGCACCCUGUAAAUGUCAUAAUUCUUUGUUCUUAUGUUCCUCGUCGCGCUGCACCUAAUCAUAUAAAUGAAUGCCCUUUGCGAGAGGAAGAUGUCGUGAAUUUGGUUGCUCAGGCUGUAGAAUCAGCACUCCUCGACUUGUGCCAUUUAUGAUACACAAGCAGAUAGAAUUUUAUUAGGUGAAUCAGAUCCAUGGCCACCACAGUAGCCCCACUAUUUUCAGUACUUGAUGUCAUAAUCCAGGUAACCCUAAUUACAUGUCCAUGCUACACCUGAGCUUACAGCUCAAGUGGUACCCUGGCAAAAUAUAUAGCAAUGAUAAGAUAUUUGAUAAUUGUCACUUGCUGCAUCAAUUUCUAUGCCAUCAUUUUCUGAAGAAAAAAAAGGAUUAGAUUCGUAUGAGAUAUGGUAGGGACCAAAAGUUUGCGGUUCUGAUAAGCAGAGGUGUCAAAUUUGAAAUUAGGACAAACCUUAAAUUUACCAUUUGGUAUAUUUUAUUUCUAAAAAAUACAGCUUUUUUAGCUAUGUUGAAUUUAUCUUCAUCACUUCUUGUGACACGACUCUGGAGGUAGAUGUCAAGUAAAUCUAUUAAGAUAUAUUGGUGACGAAUAAUAUUUAACAUAAUGGCUUCAUAAUUCAAUGGCUUCCAUUGUCAAAGCCAUUUUCCAUGGCAGAAUUGAAAGAUGUGAUGAUUCACUCCCUUCAGUAAUAUUUGAAGACUGUUUAUAUAGCAGAUAUACUAAUAUUUGAAGACUGUUUAUAUAGCAGAUAUACUAACAGAAAAACCUCAAGUAAAAUCUUCAAGACAAGUUGAGUAUUGAAAAUACCUCCACACCAAUUUAUCAGUUAGAGAUCUCCUAUACAAGAUGGAAAUGAAUAUACACGCAAAGGAAAAUCGAUGAAAAGUAUUGCAUCACUACUCACUGAUCCUUAUGCAAAGCUGAAUAUGAAACUUAUUAAUUUUGCAGAAUAAUUAUCAUAUGAUGUUCAGCAGCACGUCAUUUGCCAAUACAUUCACAUCUCUCAUAUUUCUUUUAUUUAUUUAUUUAUUUUGAGCAUAUGAAUGUUAUUUGACAGUCACCUCAAUUUGUGGGGUUAGGUUCAUAUCCUACAAACUGUUCCGGGAACAUAAUUGUCAGAGAUUCUAAGAAAAUUGCUCUAAUGUAAAAGAAGAAGAAGAAGAAGAAGAAGAAGAAAAAGAAAGAAAUAAUAAUAAAAUAAAAAGAAAAGCAGGAAAAUCUUGCUUGCGCAAAAUCGCAAGUGAAACAUCAAAUUUUCGUGAGUUUCAUAGCCAAAACACAGCUGCUGAAGAUAACCAAAUACCAUAUUACUGCGUUUGAAAAAAAAAAACAGAAGCUAACGCAGAGCCAAAUACCAUCUAAUAGUCACAAAUCACUCUCUGAGCUGUAAGUUUGUUGGAUUGUUAUGCUUUGCUUUGCCUUUUCUUUUGCCAACAGAACCUUAUCUUGACUUCAUCUGCCUAGUAUCAUUGAUGACGUACUUGAUUUGCUUUUUCUUUAAGAGCUGUUUCUUUGCCUUUUCUUUUGCCAACAAAAUCAAUGGUGGUCAACAUCGAGUUGACUUGUAAAAUAGUAUAGUCAACUUAUAUUUAAUGUAUAAAAUUAGAUUAAAAUUUGAAAAUGAGUAAAAUUGGUUAAACUCAUUUAAUCUUGAUAAAAUUGGUACAUUUGGAUUGAUUUUACAAGUUUGAAAAAAAAGUAUAAAAUUAUAUAAUUUGGUAAUCUCUAUCUUAGCAUUUUUAUUAUUUCAAAUUUAUAUCUUACAAAACUUAUAUAAUUUAAUAAUCAAGAUUUUGAUUUUGACUAUAAUUAUUAUAAUUUUUUUUAAUGAUAUAAGUUAUAUAUCGAUUUUAUUUUUGUAAAAUGAAAAUACCUCUUUAUUUUUAACAGUUCCUUAUAUAAACUACUAAUAUAUCAAUAGACAUAUUCCUUCGUUUUAGUUGUCAAAUAUAUAGAAUAAAAAUUAUAAAUUAGCAUGCUUGAUUCUUGAAGUAAUUAAUAUUAAAUGACCUAUUAAAAUUUGAAAUGACUUGUUUUUUGUAAAUGACGAAGUAAGUGAGUUGAUUUGUCUAAAAAGUAGAGCAAUCAAUGUGAAAAAAAUUUAGUGUUUAGACUUUUCUAUUAUUUAUUUCAUUUUCAUUUUAAUUAUGCUAUAGUGUUAAUUAAUAUUUGACUGAAAUUAUUAAUAUAUAAUUAGUUAAAAUAUUUUAUUUUUUAUUUUAUGAUUUGAAUUUAUAAUUUGAGUCUAUUUAUUAUAUAUUCCGUGUCGUGUUAAAAAAAUAUUUUUAACAACCUGACAACCUUACUUUUGUGGGUAUGUCAUUUAGAAAUAUGAAUCACAAUAAUGGAAGAAUGCAAAUUCCAAAUCUGAGAAAUCAAAGAAAAUGUCACUGUGCUUGAAUUCCAAGCCAAGGAGACCAAAACGUCAACUCUGGCAACAAUGGCAAAAUAUCAAAGAAAAUGUAUUCAGCCUCUAUAAUGGAUGCAUUAUAUAAUGUCACUGUGCUUGGACCUGAGGCCAAAUGUGUAAAGAGCUUUCCAAAUGUUUAUUGGAUGCAUUUGUCUGAGUUCUAUAUAUCCCUCCAUUUGAUCUAGUGGGAGACACAUAAAAUGUUUAAAUUUUAUUUAUUAAAGUUUUGUUUUUAUUGAAAGGUUAUUAAAAAAAUAGAAAACUUUAAUAAUACCGAAUAAAUUAUUAGUCUUGGUUUUGCACUUUUGCAUUUUUUUCUCUCGUGAUUGCACCUUUAUUGGUAUAAAUUAUUCGCCCUAUCCUAAAGUCUUGUACGUAGUGGGAUGACUUGUGAUUGACUUGAAUAUCUACAGCUCAGUACUGGCGGCCAAUGCUCCUAAUUUUCUUUCUGCAAGUUUUCAUCCAAUAUUCUUUGCGCUAAUUGUUUCUCUAAAAAAAUUAACAGAAAAAGAUAACAAAAUAAAGAAAUCUUCCAAAGAAACUUUUCAAAGUGGAUUCAUUUGAUUGAUAAAAGACCAAAGAAAGGAAGAAGGAUAUAACAAAAACAUUAACAUCGUGAAUGGAAGACAUCACCGUAGGUCCAUCCAUAGCUGAAACUAGAAGACAUCCAAGAAUGGAAGAAGCUGGUCUAGUGAUAAAAAUCUGGAAUUAAAAGGUUUGCUUCCCCUAUAAUUUCAGGUUCAAGCCCUAUAAUUUUUAAUAUUGAUGGUUACUGGAAGCUUAUUUGGUUGAUAACUUUAAGGCCCCUGAGUAUUAGUCGAGGAGCAUGCAAGCUGGUCCGGACACCUCACGUGAAUUAAAAAAAAAAUAAAAAAUGGACUUGACCAGUCCGAGUUUUAACUGGUCAAGUCUUAGGUUUGCUUUCUAAUGGUCACGAGUUCGAGUUUUUUUAAAACUACUGAAAACUUAUAUUAUCAUUAGUUUCAGAGUUCAUAAAAUUAGUCGAAAUACAUAUAAAUUGACCCGAAAACCAAGUUAGUAGCAAUAAUAAUAAAAAAAGAAUGGAAGACAUCCAAUUAAGACGCCGCUGUCUAUCUUCGAUCAUGACCAAGACAAACGAAUUCCUGCAAAAAGGGUAUUCCAACCUUAUGGCUCCCAUUAUAUACGUAUGCAGGGCUAAUCAUUUUAUACAUCCUCCUUAAGAAAGUAAACAACCAAGGCCAUGGCUUCCCAAAUCUUGCUCUUAUCCAUACCUUCCUUGUUUUUUUCCUUCCUUGCUUAUGCUUCCUUCUUUACUUCUUUUGCUUACUCGGCUGCCGGAGCUGAAAUAGCAAAUGGAAGGAAGGAAGCAGAAGCUCUUCUAGAAUGGAAAGUCAGUCUUGACAACCGAAGCCAGUCUCUCCUGUCUUCAUGGGCUGGAGACAGCCCUUGCAACUGGGUCGGAAUCAGUUGCGACAAGUCUGGUAGUGUUACCAACAUAAGCCUGCCUAAUUCUAGAUUGAGAGGCAGGCUUAAUAGUCUCAGAUUCUCUUCCUUUCCUAACUUGAUUGUGCUUAUCCUUCGCAACAACUCCCUCUAUGGGUCCGUUCCUUCACAUAUAGGUAACCUUUCUAACCUCUCCAUCCUUGACUUGUCUUACAAUAGCAUUUCUGGCAACAUUCCAUCAGAAAUAAGCACAAUGAAAAGCAUUAGAGUGUUUACCCUGUCUGUAAACCAUAUCGGUGGCUCCAUCCCUAAUGAAAUAGGAAUGUUGAGUUCACUUUCUCAAAUAAUUUGGCAUGAAAAUGAUCUCGGAGGAUUAGUGCAUGCGUCUAUAAGCAAUUUGAGCCACUUAACUGAUCUUUAUCUCAAUGGAAAUCAACUUUCUGGUGGCAUACCACCAGAAGUUGGAAAAUUGAGAUCUCUUGAUUUGCUUGAUUUGUCAAAUAACAACCUUAGUGGUGUUCUUCCUACGUCCAUAGGAAACUUAAGCAACUUGUCUUUUCUUUACCUUUACAAAAACAACUCUCUGGUUUCUUACCUAGAGAAGUAGGGCUUGAAGACCUAUUAACCCUUCAGUUGUCCGAUAAUAAUUUUGAAGGUCCAAUCCCUACUUCCAUAGGAAAUAUGAAAUCUCUCAAUUUCCUUCAAUUAAAACAAAAUUUUCUCACUGGUAAAAUACCUGCGUCUAUUGGAAACCUCACGAGAUAUCUCACUUCUUUAGAUUUGUCAUAUAAUAAUCUAAAUGGUACAAUACCAGCAUCUUUAGGAAAUUUAAUAAUCUUAUCUAAACUUCUCCUUGCGAAUAACAGUCUUUUUGGUCCCAUUCCUCCAGAAAUGAACAAUCUUACACAUUUAUAUUUGUUACAAAUAUAUUCUAAUAGAUUGUCUGGUAAUCUACCACGAGAUGUGUGCCUUGGUGGAUUACUUUCAUAUUUUAGUGCGUUGGGCAAUUAUUUCACGGGACCUAUCCCAAAAAGCUUGAGAAAUUGCAGCAGCUUGUUGAGACUCAGACUUGAGAGAAACCAGCUUAGUGGAAACAUAUCUGAAGCUUUUGGCACACAUCCCUAUUUGUACUACAUGGGUUUGAGUGAUAAUGAAUUGCAUGGUGAACUUUCAUGGAAAUGGGAUCAGUUUAACAAUCUGACAGUCUUCAAAAUUUCUGGAAACAAAAUCUCUGGAAUAAUACCAGCUGCUCUUGGAAAGGCAACUCAUCUACAAGUUCUUGACCUCUCGUCAAAUCAACUAGUUGGGAGAAUUCCAAAAGAAUUGGGAAAUUUAAAGUUAAUUGAACUUGCACUCAACGAUAACAACUUUCAGGUGAUAUUCCUUUCGAUUUCACAUCGCUAUCUGAUCUCGAAAGGCUUGACCUGGCCGCGAACAAUUUUAGUGCAACAAUUCUUAAACAGCUUGGCAACUGCUCAAAACUGAUAUUCUUGAAUAUGAGCAAGAAUAGAUUCACAGGGAAUAUUCCUGCUGAGAUGGGGUCUUUACAGUCUCUUCAAAGUCUUGAUCUCAGUUGGAAUUCCCUGAUGGGAGAUAUAGCACCGGAGCUUGGACAGCUGCAGCAGCUAGAGUUUCUGAACCUCUCCCACAAUAUGCUGUCUGGUCUAAUUCCAACCAGUUUUAGUAGACUGCAAGGCCUCACUAAAGUGGAUGUAUCCUAUAACAAGCUAGAGGGUCUCAUUCCUGACAUCAAAGCCUUUCGCGAGGCACCAUUUGAAGCAAUUUGCAACAACACCAACCUGUGUGGGAAUGCUACCGGUUUGGAGGCUUGUUCUGUUCUCAUGAAAAACAAAACUGUGCACAAGAAGGGCCCCAAAGUUGUCUUUUUGACAGUAUUUUCUCUGCUGGGUAGUUUGUUGGGCCUGAUUGUAGGAUUUCUUAUCUUUUUCCAAAGCAGAAGAAAGAAAAGGUUAAUGGAAACACCUCAAAGAGAUGUUCACGCGAGAUGGUGCCCUGAAGGGGAACUGCGCUACGAGGACAUCAUUGAGGCUACUGAGGAAUUCGACUCCAAAUAUUGCAUUGGUACUGGAGGGUAUGGAGUUGUUUACAAAGCUGCACUUCCAUCAGAACAAGUCGUUGCCGUGAAGAAGUUGCACCGAACACCAGAAGUUGAGAUGAGCAGCUUGAAAGCUUUUAGAAGCGAGAUUGAUGUCUUAAUGGGUAUACGGCAUCGAAAUAUUGUGAAGCUGUAUGGUUUCUGCUCGCAUGCCAAACACUCAUUUUUGGUAUAUGAAUUUGUGGAAAGGGGAAGUUUAAGAAAGGUACUGAACGACAAGGAACAAGCAGGAAAGAUGGAUUGGGAUAAAAGGAUGAAUCUUAUCAAAGGCGUAGCCAAUGCUUUAUCCUACAUGCACCAUGACUGCUCCCCUCCGAUUAUUCAUAGAGACAUUUCCAGCAACAAUGUUCUUUUGGAUUCAGAAUAUGAGGCUCGUGUCUCUGACUUCGGCACAGCGAGGAUCUUAAUGCCUGACUCAUCCAAUUGGACAUCAUUUGCUGGCACCUUUGGGUAUACAGCUCCAGGUAUGAAGUUAAGUUUCAAUAUCACCUUCUAUAGUAGGUUAGUUUACAAAAUCACUUGAAAACAAAAUAGCUGCAGUAAAUUAGUUUGGCAAAAUAUAGCAUGACCAGCCUCUUUUACAGAGUUGGCAUACACAAUGAAAGUAGAUGAAAAAUGUGAUGUUUAUAGCUUUGGAGUAUUAACAUUGGAAGUAACGAUGGGAAAGCAUACUGGCGAUUUCAUCUCAUCUCUGAUGUUUUCUGCUUCCACCUCCUCAUCAUCAUCAAGCGGUCACAAUACACUCUUGAAGGAUGUUUUAGACCAGCGCCUGCCACCUCCUGAAAACGAGCUUGCGGACGGUGUGGCACACGUUGCAAAACUAGCGUUUGCUUGCUUGCAGACCGAUCCCCAUUAUCGGCCAACAAUGCGACAAGUUUCUACAGAGCUUACAACUCGUUCGCCACCAUUGCCAAAGCUAUUAUCCACGAUAGAAUUGGAAGAUGAACUGGUUCGCAGGAAUGUUAAGGGUUGAAUUUUUACAUAUACUUUCCUGUCAAGGAUCCAGUAGCUCAGCUGGUAAUAGAGUCCCACACCUUUCAUGAGGUGUUAUUAUCUGUCUUGGAUAUUCAGUCCAAAGUCUUACAUUUCGUCUAUUUAUUAUGUAUAUUAUAUGCAGAAACAAGAAACAGAGUUUUCCCCUUUCGAGCGUAAAUUCGCCAGGUGAAAUAUUUCACAUAUUUUUAGUUUUCUUUAGCAACAAUGGAAGAAAUCAACAUAUUUUCUCCUUUUUUUGUUUUCCAAUAAACGAUAAUGAAUUAUAAUAAGUAUCAUAACUCAAUUUUUGAUCAUUGUAUCUUUAUUAUUAUUUUAUUAAAAUAAAAAAUUGAUGAAAAAAAUAAUGAUAAUGAAAAAAUAAAAUAAAUAAAUGAAGUAUAAUUUUUGGGUUAAGGGCAAUAUGAAUGGAAAUUUUGGGGUUUAAUUAAACUUUGUAAUUAAUCUAAUUAAGCUUGAAAUUAAUUUAUUUAAUCCAAUUAAGAGUUUAAUUGGAGAAUUGAUAAAUUUUUAGACUUAAUUAAGCUUGAAAUUAAGUUAAUUCAUCCAAUCAAGGAUUUAAUUGGAGAAUUAAUAAGUUCUGAGACUUAAUUAAGCUUGGAAUUAAUUUAAUUAAUCCAGUUAAGGGUUUAAUUGAAGAAUUGAUAAGUUUGGAGACUUAAUUAAGAUUGUAAUUAAUUUUAUUAAUUCAAUCAGGGGUUUAAUUAGAGAAUUGAUAAGUUUUAGACUUAAUUGGACUUUGGAUUUAAUUAAAUUAACUUAAUCAGGGGCUUAAUUGAAGAACUAUUAAGGUUUGGGGUUCAAAUUUCGAAAUUAAAAUUCCAAGGACUACAUUGGAAAAGCGCAGAAAUAAAGGGGUCCAAAGUUAAAUUUUAUCCAGGGGCUUGAUUUCACGAUUUGAGAAUUCCAAGGACCAAAAUUCAAAUGGCCAUUGAACACAGCACUGUUCAUCUUCUUCAACGCUUCAGCUGCCGGCCGCCACCAUUACUCCUGCAAUAACAGUCGAUUAAUUACCUGGUAACGGUGGAAUUCUGUGGCUAUAAAGCCGGAGAAAACAACGAAACAAAAAAAAAGAGGGAGGGAAAAAAGAAAAAAAGCCACGAUCGGCAGAAAACGAAGACAGAGGACGAACCAGAAUAAAGGUGUUUUCCUUGUUUCUUCUCAGAGAACAGAAACGAGAAAAAAUAAACAAAGGAAAAGCGGCAGGGAAAAAACAGAGAGAUCACAGAGAAAGAACGAAACAGAGGUGGGGGAAGUUUUUUUUUCCAGCCACCACACCUACAUAUAUCAUCGUCUUCGUCUGUUUCUUAGCAACCACAGACGGCAAAAAACCAGAGAAACACAGACCGAAAACCAGAGCAAAAAAACGCAAGCCACAUACAGAGCAAAAAACCCAGACCCAAAUUCGAAAAGAGAAGCCAGCAACGCCCUCUGUUCUUCAUCACGAAGACUGAAAAAACCGGGAAAAAACAAAAGAAAAGGAACAGCAGACGAACAGAGGGGAAGAGACUGAGAGGAGGAGGAAGAGAGAAUUCUCCGAGAGUGCUCGAAUUGUUGCUUUCGCCUGCGCCUUCGAAUAGCCAGGUAAGACUUUCUUUUUAUCUUCGUUUCUGCACAUUAGAUUAAAAGAGAAAGAACAGGGGCGAAGGUAAUUUAAUUACCUUCACCCUGUGCAGCGCACGCGUGGUCUGAACCACGCGUGCCUGCAGCCCAACCGGGCCACUGGCUUGGGCCAGUGGCCGGGCCAGGCCCAGCCCUUCCAAAAAACAUAAAAAAUAUAUUAAAAAAAUAAAAAAAUAAAAAAUAAAAAAAUAAAAAAUAUGUAUCAUGAAUAAAAAUAAUAUAAAUUUAUUGGUUUAUUCACUGACGCCAGAGUCAAUAAUAAAAAUACCGGUUUAAAUUUAUAUUAUUUUUAUUCGUUGUAUUUUAUUUUAUUUAGCUAGAAAAAUAAAAAAAAAUAUGUGCAUGCAAAAAAAAAUAAUAAUAAUAAAUUUGUUAUUUAUUUAUUUAUUCACGGAUGCUAGAGUAGGGAAUAAAAAUAUAUUGAUCUAAUUUAAUUUUCGUAGCUACGAAUUUUUACCAACGCAAGAGUUAGAAUUAUUCGAGCUUGAAUAUUCACUAGCGUCAGAGUCAGGAAUAUUAUAAACAAAUCAUCAUAGCAUAAAUUAAUAAACAUUUAACAAUUUAAGAUAAAACACCAAUGCAGUCUGCCUUAGGCAGAACGUUUAAGAGGUGAUAAUAUCUUCCCUUUUACGUAACCAAUCCCGAGCUAUAGAAUCUCUGUUGACCAGUUAGGGUUUCUAGUGACCAUAAUACUAGGUGGUGACUCUUCAAACAAGACCUUUUCCCCUAAAAGAACUGGAUGCCAAAAAUCUAUUCUUUUUCUGUAAUUCAAGAGAAUUAAUUUUUAAGGCCGCCGCAAUGUCGGGUGCGACAAUAAGCUCUUGAUUUUAUUUUUUAAUUGGUAAUGAUAAUAAGCUUCUUUCAAUAUUGCCAAAUCAGUAAUACAACUAAAAAUCUUGAUGAUAUAAUAAAAACCACUCCCUUUAUUUCCACAAUUAAAACAAACUUGUCCUAAAAGAAGUGGCCACUGCUUUCUAUUUUCUUAAAUAAUUGACAAAAUUUCCAAAUUUGAGAUUUCAUAGCGAAUGUCCCCAUUGAUAGGUGAAGCCCAAAGACAAGGUUUUUUUUUUUUUUCAAAAGAAACUUCACUUCAAAAACGGCAAACUAUAGUUGUCUAGCUACAAGCAAUUGAACAUUCCUUCUUCUCUGUAACUAUUCAAAAGGAAAUUUUAGCAUAUCACGUAACGUAUAUAAUAUAUAUAUAUAUAAUUAUAUAUAUAUAUAUAUAUAUAUAAUAUAUAUUAUGCACUCUUUGUGACUGAAAAAGACAACCACAACCAUAGCCAUCACUAAGAAACUUGUCCCUGCUAAUCAGAUUCUUCUCGCAAGCAGGUGGCAAAACAAAAUUUAAUUAUCUAUUAUUCAUAUAUAAUAAAUUAUUUAAUAAUUUAAUUAUAUGUAUCAUGUUUUAAUUUAAAUAUUGUGAUAUCUAUUAUUACUAUAUUUAUUUUAUUUUCUUUAUUAAUUAUUUUCAAACAGAAAUAGUAAUAUCUCUUACACUCAUUAAAAAUACCUAACUCAAAUUUUAUAAAUUUUAAUAGUUUUUCAUAACCGGUGCUUAAAAUUUUUUAUUGAUUAAAAUUGAAUUUAAAAUUGUAUAUUAUAAAACUAAAAUAAAAAAUAAAUACUGCAUUUUUUUUCUCGGUAUUUAUUGAAUUUAAAUUCUUAAUUAUUAUUUAUUUUUUAAAAACAAACUAUUUUAUCACUUAAUUUUUUAUAAAAAAUAUUUGCUUAAAAUUAAUAAGGGUGAAAAUAAUACAUAAUUUAACUUUAAUAAUAUCAUAAUGUUUUGACAAUUUGAAGUAUCUUGGUAUUCAUUGAUUUAAUUCGAGAGAUAAUUUUUUGUUUUAUUUGUUUCUGCUUUUACAUGUAGUUUAAGGGAUAUUUUUAGGUUGAAUGGUUGUUUAAAUUGAUGUUAGAGUUUAGAUUUUUAAAUUGAAUAAUUAUUUUACAUUAAAUUUAAAACGUGAGGGUGAAUGUGAGAUGAUGUGUAACGACUACCAGACCUCACAACAUCAUCUACUGAAUCUACAAGUUGAAUUUAUGUUCCCAGAAAUCAAAGAUGACCUUCACAUGCUAUCAGACAAUUUCGCCAUUGACAAUAGCAUCAGUUCAGAGUCUAAUGUAUGGGAAAAAAAUUGUGCAGCAAGGAUUUGGAUCUACCAGUGGAGUUGCUGUUCCCAGAAAUCAAACAUGGUCUUCUCACGUCAGCAGACAGCCCUUCCAUUGGUAACAGCAUCAGUGCAGCGUGUAAUGCAUUGGAAAAGAAUUGUGAAGCACAAAUUUUGACAUAACAGGGGCAUCAAUUGAUCAGACAAAUCCUGCUCACCACAUGGUACUUAGAAGGAGUAGAAGAAAAGUUAAACUUCAAUCCAAAACCGGCAGCAUUCAAGAAACAGUGGAGCACCAGGAAGAUAGCUCUUCAGAAUCAAUGGAAUCGGGUAUUAAACAGGGGAAUUCCAGGUUUACUAAGCAGAAACAGCCAAAGGAUGCAUAUACUAUGGAGAGAGAUGAAGAGGUUUAGAAUAUGUUGAAUGAUGGGGUAAGAUUGGGUCUGGGUGACAUGCAGGAACUGAAUGUUUUUGCUGAAUCGAUCUGGGAAACUGUGAACAAGGAAUUUGAAAACAUUGAGGCCUUCUCAGGACCUGUGUCUUCUCUUCACUUGUUUGAAAAACCAGCAGAGCAGCUUACUGGGUCGGCCACUGAAGUUGUCUGCAACUGGUACAUAGAAACAUUGUCAAGGAUGUAUCAGGUGCUGGAAUCCUUUUUACACCAAUCCACAAAUGCUUUAAAAGCACGAGGCCUGUUGGUGGAUAUUUUGCAGAGUCUGUCACUGAUCUCAGAGAAUUGCAGGCCUUUGUUCGUGUAUUUGGUGGCUAUGGCGUUGACAGGCUAGACAGAAUGAUGAAAGAGCACACAGCAGCACUCUUGAAUUGCAUUGACACAUCAUUACGGUCAAACCAUGAAGUGUUAGAGGCAGUUGCUGGCAGCAUGCAUUCUGGUGACAGAAUAGAAAGAGAGGCAUGUUCCAGGCAGAUUGUGGACUUGGACACAGUAAUUGGAUUUUGCAUUGAGGGAGGACAUGCACUUGCUUUUGGUCAGCUUCUUGCUGAGGCAGCUGGGGUCGUGCUUGAUGAGGGUGCACCGUUGAUAUAUUCACUACUUUCUGGGGUGGUUAAGCAUAUACCUGAAGAAAUAUCUGAAAAGAAGGAAAUCAGAAGAAUAUGAGGGGUGGCAAACAGUCUUAAUAUAGUUGGAGAUCAUGAUUCAGAAUGGAUCAGAUCAAUUCUAGAGGAUGUUGGGGGUGCAAAUGAUGGUUCUUGGACAUUGUUGCCUUAUUUAUUUGCCACCUUCAUGACAUCAAAUAUAUGGAAUACAACUGGCUUCAAUGUUGAUACAGGGGGCUUCAACAACAAUAUCCAUUGUCUGGCAAGGUUGGUUUUUCUUGUCCCGCCAUAUUGUUGAAUUGAUGGGUCUGGAUAUACUCCUGAACACAAGAAGUUCAAUGCUUCUUCGAACAUGUAUUGCAUACGAGCUAGUGAUCUGAAGUCAGUGGCCCAUACCUGGCAUUUCUAUCCAAAUUAUUUUUGAUUGGGCGACUGGCCGUCUCCCAUUGAAUAUUCUUUGCAGGUGCAUGAGUGCUGUGAUUGCUGGUAGUGAGUUAGUGAGAUUGGAACGUGAACAUCAGCAGAGACAACAGUCUCCCUCUAAUGGCCAUCUUGAUGAGGCUUUGGAUCCUGAAAUACAUAACCGUUUGUUUGCUGAAGCAAGCAUAAAGUCUGCAAUGCAGCUUUUUGUCAAGUUUGCAACUGGUAUUGUGCUCGAUUCUUGGAGUGAAGCCAAUAGGUAAACAUGCAAUGCCUGUCAUGCCCCUCACAUAAAUACACAGAUAUGCACACAAGUUCCAUAUUUUCAUCGAUUUCUGUUUGCAUAAAAUCUCAUGGUAAUUAUUUUAAACCACAAGCAUCAUUCCUUAAAAACUCUGAGUUAAAUCUCUAGGGUGGCUCCAUCAAUAAUUCUUUCAGCUCAAAUACUGAGAAAGGAAUGUUGAUCUGAAUAGUCUAUUUGAUUAUCCUUAUGACCUUUGUUUCCUUUCUCAUCAUUUCAUGCAUCUCAAUCUCAUCUCCCCUUUCUGUGCAGAUCUAAUCUUGUAGCAAAGCUGAUUUUCUUGGACCAACUUUGUGAGAUCUCACCGUAUCUUCCAAGAAACUCCCUCGAAGCCUAUGUUCGUUACGCAAUUCUCCGUUCAAUUUAUAGCCAGUACUACUCAAAUUCUCCAUCCAUGCCUCUGGCACUACCAAGUGUCUCAUCCCGCCAUUCACCUGCUGUAUCACUAUCUCACACAUCUCCUGCAGUGAAGCAGCCUCGUGGAGACUCAACACCACAGCAUGGUGUUAAUGAUUCAGGUUAUUUGAAGGGGUCAUCAUCCCAUAGCCAGAACCAUUUGUACGAUAUGGAUAGAGGAAGCCUUCGCAGCACGGAUAAUAAACAUCGAAAUGUUCGCCGCUCUGGGCCUUUGGAUUAUAGUUCAAGCAGAAAAGUUAAACUUGUCGAAGGCUCAGCUUCUGGGAGCACAGGUCGUAGUCCGCUACCACGGUUUGCUGUCUCAAGAUCCGGGCCUUUAAUGUAUAAGUAGAAAACGGUGAAAAUGGCAGGGUCAGGAGUGUUGAUAAAUUAUCAGCUCCUCGUCAAUCAGACAAGUUUUGCACCCUGUAAAUGUCAUAAUUCUUUGUUCUUAUGUUCCUCGUCGCGUUGCACCUAAUCAUAUAAAUUAAUGCCCUUUGCGAGAGGAAGAUGUUGUGAAUAGGGUUCUCAGCCUGCAGAAUCAGCACUCCUCGACUUGUGCCAUUUAUGAUACACAUGCAGAUAGAAUUUUAUUAGGUGAAUCAGAUCCAUGGCCACCACAGUAGCCCCACUAUUUUCAGUACUUGAUGUCAUAAUCCAGGUAACCCUAAUUACAAGUCCAUGCUACGCCUGAGCUUACAGCUCAAGUGGUACCCUAUCAAAAUAUAUAGCAAUGGUAAGAUAUUUGAUAAUUGUCACUUGCUGCAUCAAUUUCUAUGCCAUCAUUUUCUGAAGAAAAAAAAGGAUUAGAUUCGUAUGAGAUAUGGUAGGGACCAAAAGUUUGCGGUUCUAAUAAGCAGAGGUGUCAAAUUUGAAAUUAGGACAAACCUUAAAUUUACCAUUUGGUAUAUUUUAUUUCUAAAAAAUACAGCUUUUUUAGCUAUGUUGAAUUUAUCUUCAUCACUUCUUGUGACACGACUCUGGAGGUAGAUGUCCAGUAAAUCUAUAAAGAUAUUUUUGGUGAUUAUUAUAGAAUGUAACUAUAUAGGAAAUAUGGUAGUCAUAUUCUUAUAUGGUAAUCUUCACCUUUACUAUUGUAUAUUGCUCUACUUAUACAUAUAGAAAGGGUUGCCUAACUAUUAGGUUAAACCUCCUAAUUAUUCUCAACUUGGUAUCAGAGCCUUCGGCCGUUAAAACUCUUUUCUCCUUUUGCAGCCGGCCCCAAUUUUUUUUUUCUCCCCCAUGGACUCUCCUCCUGCUGCCGCCGUUGCCAUCUCUCCUUCCACCGAUGCUACAACAUCACCAGCCAUCCAUCCUCCUGCUGCUGGCCGAGAACAACUUCCACAUGUAGAGCAUGUGUCUGAUUCUUCUUCUCAUGAUUCUGUCGUUCCUUUGCCUCUCAUGGGAACACACACUUCAACAAUGGUUCCUCUAUCAAACACCCACCAAAUUGUGUCGUUGAAACUUACGAACACAAACUAUCUCUAUUGGAGAAUGCAGAUGAAGCCAUACCUCCUUGGUCAAGGUGUUUUUCACUUUGUUGACGGCUCCUUGCCGUGUCCUCCAUCUCAUAUGAUUGAUGCUUCGGCUAGUUCUUUCUCUGCCAUCAGCCCUUCUAUUCUUCAUUGGAAGCAACAAGAUCAACUUAUUUUGAGUGCUCUACUCUCCUCUCUCUCUCCGUGGAUGUGUUGCAUCUUGUAGUAGAUUGUUCUACUUCACAUUCUGUUUGGCGCACGCUUGAGAAGGCACUUGCCUCUCCAUCUAAUUCCCGAAUCAUGCAACUACAUGGCUCCUUUCAAGACCUUCGGCAAGGUGAUGCAUCAGUUAGUAUGUAUAUGCAGCAAGCCAAAUCGUUAUUUGACGAAUUGGCUGCUGCUGGUCGCCCAAUGUCUCUUGAAGAUUUCAAUCUCUAUGUGUUUCGUGGCCUUCGCGGUGAGUUCAAAGACUUGGUAACUAGCCUCAUAACCAAGGCCGAACCGCUAUCGUAUGCUGAUCUUCAUAGCCAUCUCCUUACCCAUGAGUUUCUGCACAAGAAUUCCUUUCACUCCAUGGCUGUCGGUUCAUCCUCUUCGCCUCUGCUGUCUUCUUCUUCUCUGCCGCAGCAGCCACCAUUGCUGCCAACACCUCGAUUCUGCUUAUUAUGCCAUGACUAAUCACAGCCGAAACAGGGGACGUUCUAGGGUAAUUGGCGUCCAACAACAACCGAUUUCAGGCCCAAACAGAGGUCACUCGCUGCAGAUUGGAGGCAAAUCAGUGGCAGAACAGGCGCACCUCUGCUGCAGAUUUCAGGCCGAAUCAGGGGCAGUGGUCUGGACAUGUACGCUGCCAAUUAUGUUCCAAUCUUGGCCAUUCAGCUCUUCAAUGCUCUCAGUUUCGCAGCAGCACACAACAACCCUCUGCUCACCUUGCUGUUGCGAAUGAUUCUGCUGCAACGACUUGGUUUCCCGACACCGGCGCGAAUCAACAUGUGACGCCUGACCUUGCAACUCUAACUGAUUCUGCUCCUUAUCUUGGUAAUGAUUUCUUGCAUGUUGGUGAUGGUAAGGCCCUUGACAUAUCCCAUGUUGGACAUACUACUUUAUAUUCCCCUAAACGCUUGUUUACAUUAACUAAUGUUCUUCGUGUGCCUCACAUUACCAAACCGUUGUUAUCUGUUCAGAAAUUCUGUCGUGAUAAUCAUGUUUAUUUUGAAUUUCACGAUUCUGUGUUUUAUGUGAAGGAUCUCGUCACCAAGGAAGUUCUUCUUUCCGGUCGGAGUCAUGAUGGUCUUUAUGUUCUCUCCGAGUCUUCGGCUACGUCAGUUCCUCAAGCUUUUUGGUCUCCUUGCAUUUCCGCGACUGCCGACUUGUGGCAUCGUCGUUUAGGUCAUCCAACUCCUCGCAUUCUAAAUUUGUUAGUUUCUGAUAAUAAAAUUAUUUGUACGUCUAACGAUCUUUUACUCAAUGUCAAGCAUGUCCAUUAGGCAAGUCAUCCCGUUUGUCAUUACGACCGACGGGUCACAAAACUUCUACCCCACUUGAAUUUUUUUAGUGAUGUUUGGGGCCCUGCUCCAAUGUUUUCUUCUGAUGGUUUUCGUUAUUUUGUUAUCUUUGUUGAUGCGCACACUAAAUAUAUCUGGUAUUAUCCGCUUGUUGCGAAAUCUGAUGUAUUUUCCACGUUUCAACGUUUUCAGACACUUGUUGAGCGUCAGUUUUCUCUUAAAAUUAAAUCUGUUCAAACUGAUUGGGGUGGUGAAUAUCGUAAAUUAAAUAAUUUUUUCAAACAAUUGGUAUUCAUCAUCGAUUAAUUUGUCCUCAUACUCAUGAACAAAAUGGCACAGUUGAACGUCGUCAUAGACAUAUUGUCGAAACUGGCCUAACCCUUUUAGGCCAGUGUAAUGCCCCAUUGCGUUUUUGGAACUAUGCUAUGGAAUCAUCGGUAUAUCUUAUUAAUCGCAUGCCUACUCAUGUUCUUCAAAAUAAAUCUCCUUUUGCGUGUCUGUUUCAUCGCACUCCUGAUUAUAACUUCCUACGUACAUUUGGGUGUCUUUGUUUUCCAUUUUUACGUCCAUAUCAUGCUCAUAAAUUAGAUUUUCGGUCUUCUCCUUGUGUGUUUUUAGGCUAUAGCUCGUCUCAUCUUGGUUAUCGGUGUCUUGAUUUAGAGUCUGGUCGUGUCUAUGUCUCCCGUCAUGUUCGUUUUCAUGAAUGUGUCUUUCCUUUUAAAAAGUCUGAACAGGUAACAACACCCCCGGUUCCCCCCACUCCACCUACCUAUCUUCCAUCCUUGCAUCCCCCUUCCUGUUUUCAGCCUAUUCCUUCCCAAAUCGGUAGAAAACACAACCCACCUUUGCCCCUUGCCGCACCUCCCCAGCUUGCUCCCCUGCCCGUUGAUUCAGCCGACCCUGCCUCACCACCCCACAAGCCAUACUAUCACCACGUGCUUGUCUUUCCAAUGAUUAUUGUGCAGGAACAGGUUCUGAACUUGCAGGAUUCAGUAGCGGCACAACCCAGCACCUCCCCGGCUUCACCUCCUGGUCUGCAACUUUGUGUUGAUCUCUCCUCUUAUCCUCUUCAGCACAUUCCAGGUACAGGUGCUGCUACUCCAUGUCCAGCUGCUCCUAAACACCCCAUGGUUCUUCGUCCGAGACCACCCAAGACAGCGCUGAUCACCACCACGGCAGCCACAUCUGCUGCUUCCUUCAGUCGGGUAACUUCUCCUCCCUCGCAUGAGCCACUUAUUUUUCCUGAUGCUAACAGAUAUGAGGCGUGGCAUAAUGCUAUGUGAGAGGAAAUUCAGGCCUUACGCGCAAACAGAACAUGGACUUUAGUGCCGUUUCAUCCGUCCAUGAAUGUUGUUGGUAGCCGAUGGGUCUACAAAAUUAAACGCAGAUCUGAUGGUAGCAUUGAGAGGUAUAAGGGCGCCUGGUUGCUAGGGGCUUCACUCAGCAAGAAGGUAUUGAUUACUCAGAAACUUUUAGUCCUGUUAUCAAACAGGCAACAGUCCGCUUAGUGUUCUCCAUUGCAGUUUCGAGUGGUUGGAAAAUUCAUCAGCUUGACAUUCAUAAUGCAUUUCUAAAUGGAGUCCUUGAUGAAGAGGUUUACAUGAAACAACCUCCAGGUUUUGUUGAUUCUGCUCCCAGGUCAUGUAUGUCGAUUGCAUAAAUCUCUAUAUGGGUUAAAACAGGCUCCGCGGGCUUGGUACACUCGUCUGAAUGACUUCUAUUAUCCAUUGGUUUCCGUGCUUCUAAAGUGGAUACCUCAUUGUUUAUCUUCUCGGUUGGUAGUGAUAUUUGUUAUCUUUUGGUUUAUGUUGAUGAUAUUCUGCUUACGGGUAAUAAUGGUCUGCUACAACGACUCAUUCAGCUACUGAGCUCAGAAUUUAAACUUCGGGAGUUUGGGUGAUGUUCAUUAUUUCUUGGGUAUUGAAGUGCAGUGUACUGGUCUGGGACUUAUGCUUUGUCAACAUAAGUAUACACUUGAUAUCCUCACACGAGCUGGUAUGUUAUCCUGUAAACCAGUUGAUACUCCUAUUUCGGCAUCCAAAGCCACCAUUAUGCCGGAUCCAUUGUUUUCUGAUGCUACUCGUUUUCGGCAACUUGUUGGUGCUCUCCAAUAUCUCACUUUCACACGCCCGGAUAUUUGCUUUGCUGUUAACCGGGUCUGUCAAUUUAUGCAUGCUCCUACAGAAUCCAUUGGGGCCGUGAAACGCAUCUUGCGUUAUCUCCGUGGUACGGCAUCACAUGGUUUACAUAUUACUCGCAGCUCUUCUUUUGCUUUACACGGUUUUACAGAUGCAGAUUGGGCAGGUAGUAUUGAGGAUAGAAAGUCUACAGGUGGUUAUCUUGUGUUCUUUGGUCAGACGCCAAUUUUCGUGGAAAUCGAGUAAGCAACGCACUGUUGCUCGUUCUUCGACGGAAGCUGAGUACAAAGCCUUAGUCGAUGGCAAGGCUGAAGUUAUCUGGCUUCAGUACUUGUUAACAGAUCCUCAAAUUCCGACUGCUUCUGCCCCUAUUAUCUGGUGUGACAACCUUGGUGCCACGUAUUUGUCUGCAAACCCUGUAUUUCAUGCUCGCACAAAACAUAUUGAGAUUGAUUAUCAUUUUGUCCGAGAUAGAGUUGCGAAGAAGGAGAUUCAGAUUCGUUUUAUUUCCUCUCAGGAUCAACUUGCCGAUGUCUUCACUAAGCCACUUCCUGCUGCUUCGUUUACUGCUUUUAGAUUCAAGCUUCGGGUUGAUCCUCCACCCUUAGCUUGAGGGGGCGUAUUAUAGAAUGUAACUAUAUAGAAAACAUUGUAGUCAUAUUCUUAUGUGAUAAUCUCCACCUUUACUAUUGUAUAUUGCCCUACUCAUAAAUAUAGAAAGGGUUGGCUAACUAUUAGGUUAAGCCUCCUAAUUAUUCUCAACUGUGACGAAUAAUAUUUAACAUAAUGGCUUCAUAAUUCAAUGGCUUCCAUUGUCAAAGCCGUUUUCCAUGGCAGAAUUGAAAGAUGUGAUGAUUCACUCCCUUCAGUAAUAUUUGAAGACUGUUUAUAUAGCAGAUAUACUAACAGAAAAACCUCAAGUAAAAUCUUCAACAAGUCACUUGACAAGUUGAGUAUUGAAAAUACCUCCACACCAAUUUAUCAGUUACAGAUCUCCUAUACAAGAUGGAAAUGAAUAUACACACAAAGGAAAAUCGAUGAAAAGUAUUGCAUCGUUACUCACUGAUCCUUAAGCAAAGCUGAAUAUGAAACUUAUUAAUUUUGCAGAAUAAUUAUCAUAUGAUGUUCAGCAGCAUGUCAUUGGCCAAUACAUUGACAUCUCUCCUAUUUCUUUUUCUUUUUUUAUUUCCUUUUUAUUUUGAGCAUAAUUGUCAGAGAUUCUAAGAAAAUUGCGCUAAUGUAAAAGAAGAAGAAGAAGAAGAAAGAAAUAAUAAUAAAAUAAAAAGAAGAAGAAAAGGGCGCCAGAGCAGUCUAUUUUCUGCCUGAUUGUUUCACCAAUGGCUGUAGAAUGGCAGCCAGACUAAUAGUCACAAAUCACUCUCUGAGCUGUAAGUUUGUUGGAUUGUUCUGCUUUGCUUUGCUUUUUUCUUUAAGAGCUGUUUCUUUGCCUUUUCUUUUGCCAACAAAAUCAAUGGUGUUCAACAUCGUUAGUUGAAUCGUAAAAUUAUACCAUCAAUAUAUAUUUAAUUGCCGACAGAACCUUUAUUGGUUUCAAUUAUUGGCCCUAUCCUAAAGUCUUGUAGUGGGAUGACUUGUGAUUGACUUGAAUAUCUACAGCUCACUGGUGGCCAAUGCUCCUAAUUUUCUUUCUACAAGUUUUCAUCCAUGGCUCUCGUCUGAAGGCUAACCAUGUAAAUGUCAUUCCAGUUUUUUUUUUGGUUAUAUGUCAAUUUUUUAGAGGGAAAUACUGGCGAAAUUAAGCGAAUUUUGUUUUUCUAGCUCGUAUUUUAUGUAUGUAAAACUAUCAUUUUUUUUUUAUCAACAGAAUUAGCGAAAAAUAAUGAAAUUAUAAACAAAUGUUAUUUCAACGAACGGAUUUCAUUGGUAAAUUAGUUAGUAAAAUUUUUACCGACGAAAUCGUAAUCUCACACCACAGAAAAAUUCCACCAAUAAAAUUAUUAAAUGGUGAUUGUGACAAUGAUUAUUUUUUAAAGUGUUUUUUUUUAAAUAUAUUAAAAUAAUAUUAUUUUAUAUUUUAAAAUUUAUCUUUUACAUCAACCCAUCAAAUCAAUCUAAAAAUAUAAAAAAUAAUAAUAUUUUUUUUAAAAAAACACUUUUAUAUUUAAUAACGCUAUUAACAUCCAAGUCAAUCCAAGAAUUGGGAGUAUACAAAUAGUCUUCAUCUCUUAAUAAUCAGGAGUGAACGGUGGGGUACAAGCUAGCUAUUAUUAAUUGAAAAACUAGGAGAAAAAACAAGAAAAUAAUAUAAAAAAAUCCUUGAACGAUGAUCACCCAAUGCAGAGUCUUGUAUUUCUUUUUUAAUCAUGGAAUAUAAUAAUUUUAUUAAGCAUAUAACGGUGCAAAAUAAUAUAUUUCUUAUAGUUCAUAUAUAAACAAAAAUCAUCCGAGAAUGGGUCCAUAGUUGAAACCCCAACACAAGUAUUCUAGAAUGACACUUUAAAUUAGUCUACACGUACUCCUUCUGUGACGCAAUUGAAUAUUCCAUCAAUGAUUAAUGUUGAUCGUCACACAAAAUGUUCACGAAAUGAAAAAGAAAAAUUAUACAAUAAUCCUGUAUUAGUCUACACGUACUGCUGAUAAUUGUAAAAAUAAUUUUAGAAUUACAAUAAUCCUGUAUUAGUCUACACGUACUGCUGAUAAUUGUAAAAAUAAUUUUAGAAUUACAAUAAUCCUGUAUUAGUCUACACGUACUGCUGAUAAUUGUAAAAAUAAUUUUAGAAUUACGACUAUUUUCCGCGGAUCAUGUUAAACAGAGGCUAGGCUGAUAGAGAGAGAUGAAUUUCUACAAACAAAAUAAAAUCAGUUCAAAGAAGUGCCAAGAACGCUCCUAAUCUCCUUUCUAACCAUCAGCAAACGACAUGAAUUUCAUGGAAAACAUCACCAUAGCCGACACCCAAAGACAUCCACUCAUGAAUGGAAGACCAUAGUAUUCUACACCUCUUCUGACGCAACUGUCCACAUAAGAAAUUUCCGAUCAUGACCAAGACAAACAAACUCCUGCUCAAGGAAGUUUCCACCUUGUGGCUCCCAUGUAUAAAUGCAUGCAGGGAACUUAAUUGAAAAAAAAGUAAAGCUUCUUUUUUACCAUCCAAUAAUAAUAUUAAUAACUGUGAAGAAAAACAGCUUCAUUUUGAUUUUGUAUCGACUUUCUUUAUCAUAGGACAAACUCAUGAUUAAAAAAAAAAAAAAACCAUGGGCUGAAGAGAUUAGAGUACUGCUGUAACAAGAGCAUCUUAUAUCCUUAAUUAAAAAAAAAAAAAAAAAACUAAAAGAGAAGAAAUUGUGUAUCUCUCUUCACAUUUCACUAUUUAUUAAAAUACUAUUUUAUUUUUAUUUUUUAUUUAUAUAUAUUUUUUCAAUUUUAUUUUUUAAAAUUAGAUUUAUUAAUGAUUGAAUUUCAUAAUUUUUUUGAAUUAGGUUAAUGGCCAUAUAAACCUCUAGUGACCUUAAAGUUUGUGAGACUUGAAUUAGUAACCUCAAGAAAACAAACUUAGAACCUGACCAAUUGAGUUAUACCCCUCAAAAUUUUAUGAUUUAUAUUAAUACGAUGUCAUGUGAGUAUUUGAUUUUAUUACAAAGGCACACUUUAUCUUGAUAUAAAGGAUAACCAUGCUAAAAAAAACUCUGAAGUAGUUAUCCUAGAUAGCUCCUCGGCUAUUUUAGAAAGUAGGGGUGAGCAAAAACGUCAAAAAACUGAUUAAAUUGAGAAAACUAAAAAAUCAAAUCGUGAAAAAAAUCUAAUUAAAUCAGAUUAAAAUUUUGAAAACACUAAUCACUUUGAUUCGGUUUUGAUUUUAUAAAUGUGAAACCGAAAAAAUCAACAUACCAACGAAGAAGGAAAAUAUCAAAGUCACAAUUUCUUAAUUUUCCACGAUACUUUAUAGCGAAGAUGCUAAGAGAAACCCCACCAGAAUUUGACAUCCACCUAACACCAUGGACUAAAACUGGAACUAAGUUUUUAAUUCAUGCAUUUAUAAUUAAGGCUUCAUCUCCAGUCAAGAUUGGCAACGCAAAUAGUCCACAGCUCCUAAUUAUGAGUAAUUGAAUGUUCUAAUCACUUAACUUGCCCAUGUCCUGCACCUUUCUUUAAUCCUUCAAACCAAAUCUGUCAUUAACUAUGGAAUGGACACACCAAAGAAAAAGGAAUCUUCAUCUUUAUACUCAUUUUAAUCAAUCAACCUCGAAUUUCAUUUGAUCUAUACAUUUUAUUUUACAGCUCCUCAAUGAUUACCCAAGAUAUCUUGCCUUUUUAUGUUUUUUCCCACCAUAGUGUGGAACAUACUAUUUUGCUCGUUGUCAUGGAAAAGUUUUUACUCAUCUUGUAAGAGAGGUCAGGAGCGUGACUUUGGGUUGGAGUGACUGAGUGAUGUGUGUGUGUGUGUGUAUGAUAGCAAGAAAUAUAAUAGACCAUCCUUUUGCUGUACAGAUGUGUCACGUCCUUCAGUAUAAAAAAAUAAAAGCUUGAGACCAAGAGGUUUGCUCCCUCUAUGAUCUUAGCUUUGAACCCUAGGUUGCUCAUAUGAUGGCCACUGGAAUCUUACAUGGUUGUUAACUUCAGGGCUCGUGGGAUUAGUCGAGGUGCGCGCAAGCUGCCCCGGACACCCAUGUUAAUCUAAAAAAAUAAAAUAAAAAAUAAAAUAAAAUAAUAACCAUGUAGAAUUUAAUUCCAAUGUCAAACCCUAAACCUCAACUAAGUUUUCAGCAUUUAUAAUCAUUUCAUAAAUGUAUACCAAUAGUUCGCAGCUGUUAAUUACGAGUAGUUGAAUGUUCUGAUCACUAAUUUUACCCUAUCCUUCACCUUCCUCUCAAUCAUCAAACCAAAUCCACCAUUUCUUUCCCUUAUACAUACGUGUGCAGGGCAAAUUAUUUUAUACAUCCUCCUGCUCGAGGAAGUUUCCACCUUGUGGGUCCCAUGUAUAAAUGUAUGCAGGGAAAGGGAACUUAAUUGAAAAAAAGUAAAGCUUCUUUUUAAAAUAUAAUGUAUGGGUUGUUAAACUUAUUGAGAUCAAACACAAAAGGGAGGCUAGAAUUCUGAAUAAUCUGUAUAUUAUGAAUGCUUAGACUUAACCUAAAUACAAAUAAAGUAUAUAUGGGUUAAACUGAAAGUACUAUUCUACCCUUAAUAAAUAAUACUACAUAAAUAUUAUUUAACAUCUCCCCUCAAACUCACGAUGCGGCAGCUGUAAGCAUCGAGAGUUUGCCAACCAGAAAACGAAAACGAGAGAUGGAAUGCGCCUUGGUGAAGAAAUCUGCAAUCUGCAAGGAAGAAGGAACAAAAGGCAAAGUAAUGGUGCCAUGCUUGAGAUGAUGACGAGUAAGAUGACAAUCGAUCUCAAUGUGCUUAGUUCGCUCAUGAAAAACCGAGUUGUGAGUAAUCUAAAUAGAACUCUGGUUGUCACAAUACAUAGGAGUAGGAUGAGAAAAGGAAACUCACAUAUCAGCAAGUAACCAACGUAACCAAACAAUCUCUUUGGUGGUAGAUGCCAUGGCACGAUAUUCUGCUUCGGUGGAUGAUUGAGAAAUAAUAGAUUGUUUCUUGCUCUUCCAAGAAAUAAGAGAAUCACCUAAAAAGAUACAAAACCCGGUAACAGACUUGCGAUCUGUGGGAUCACUACCAUGAUCAGCAUCAGAGUAUGCACGCAACUCCAAGGAAGAGGUGGAUGAGAGUAAAAGACUCUGAAAAAUUGUACCCCGAAGAUAUCGCAAAAUACGAAGAACAGCUGCCCAGUGAACAGUAGUAAGAGAAGCAACAAACUGACUAACAACAUGAACAGCUUAUGCAAUAUCUGGACGAGUAAUGGUGAGAUAUACCAAACUCCCAACAAUAGUGCGGUAUAAAGUAGGAUCUAUCAAAGGUAAACCAUCAGAAGAAGAGUACCUUGCAUUAACCUCAAUAGGAGUAUCAACGGUCUUGUUAUCUGUAAGUCUAGUCCGCUCAAGAAUAUCUGCAACAUAUUUUGACUAAGAAAGAAGGUAACCUCUAGGUGAAUAUGCUACCUCAAUACCCAGGAAAUAUCGAAGAUGACCCAAAUCCUUCAUUUCAAAUCGUUUAGCCAACUCUAUCUUCAAAACUGAAAUACCAUCAAUAUCAUCACCAGUAAUAAUCAUGUCAUCAACAUAUAAAGACAGAAUGAUACGACCUGCAUCAGUGCACUUGAUAAAAAGAGCAGAAUCAUGACUGUUAGAAACAAAGCCAAGAGACGAGAUCACAAUAGAGAAUUUCUCAAACCAAGCACGAGGUGCUUGUUUGAGACCAUAUAAUGCUUUCUUAAGCUUACAAACAUAUCCAGAGUCAUGUGAAAUACCAGGAGGGGGUGCCAUAUAAACUUCUUCUUGAAGAUCUCCAUUCAAGAAGGCAUUUUUAACAUCAAGCUGAGAAAUAUGCCAUUGACGAAUCGAAGCUACAACAAUAAGAGUACGAAUAGUAGUCAUUUUUGCAACCGGGGCAAAUGUCUCCUCAUAGUCCAUACCAUACUGUUGAGAGUAUCCUUUUGCAACCAGCCUAGCUUUGUAUCGCUCAAUAGACCCAUCAGAAUUAGUCUUGAUCUUAUACACCCAACGACAACCAACAACACUCUUACCAGGAGGUAGAGGAACCAGAUCCCAAGUAUCUGUCUUAUGCAAAGCAGAAAGUUCCUCAUCCAUAGCUUGCUGCCAAAGCGGAUCAAGAAUUGCCUCUUUAUAGGAAGAGGGCUCAAAGAGACAAUGAAUAGAAGCUAAAAAGGAAGUAAAUGAUGAAGAAUAACAAGAAUAAGCAAAAUCUGGUAGUUUUGUAGACUUACGAAUACGGAUGGACUGACGUGGAGGUGGAUCCACAAUCUCAGAUGAAGCUUGAGGGGCUGUAGAUGAGAAUGGAGCUUCAGGUGUGCUAGAGAGUAAAGUACCAGUACCUGCAGAGUUAUGAGUACAAAUUGAUCGAACAUGGGGAGAGAUAUCAUUAUCAGAAUCCUCAGAAAACGGAUCUAUACUAAUAACAUCAUAUUUGGUCAGGUUAUGAGUAGUGGAUGGAAUAGAAAAGAAAGGUAUAUGCUCAAGGAAGACAACAUGACGAGACACAUAAAGUUUCUGAGUUAUUGGAUCAAAACAACGAUAACCCUUUUUACCUUCACCAUAGCCUAGAAAAACACAAAUAGCGGAUCGAGAGGAUAAAUUACUUCGUUCUUGAUACGGUUCAGCCCUGUGAUACGACCCAAGUAAGGUCAGAUUCGGAUUUUGGCGUAAAAAGCGCAACAAUCCAGGUUUACGGCAACAGUCAUAAUUCUCAAUCCGACCGUUGGAUCGGGCUAAUAUUUUAUGUGGACUCUCCAGACAUAUCUUACUACCUUGGGUUAAAAUUGCAGGUCAAUCGGAGUUCGGGAAGGCACCCCAAUACUGGUCAACAGAGGCUGUACGGAUUUUGUUAUUUACUUCCAUUUGACUUGUGGACUUCCUAUUUGAUUAGGAUUCUUUUCCUCCAAGGAUGUGGGAGCUGGUUUUGGGAAUUUCCUAGUUCCACAAGGAUCUUUAAUGAGUUGCAAUAUAAUCUCCUAGUGUGGCAAGGAUUCAUUAAUGUUUCAGAAUCCUUUUCUUAUAAGGAUUCCUUAUUCAUCCUAGCUACACAAGGAAAGAAGGGCUGGUGGUAUUUAAUGACAAGUUACUUAUUUUUAUUAUUUUCUUUCAUGUUUGGGCUUAAUUAAUAGUUUGUUUUCAGCUAGGAUCCAAGGCUUGUUUGGAUCAGGUUAUGGGCUUUUUAGUUUAGGGUUUUGGGCCAGUUUUGAGUGGACCUCAUAUAAGUCCACAUAAGAGGUCCAUUAGGGUUAAUUUUUCAAGAACUAUUUAAACUCAUGUAAGCCACAAUUUCGGCAGCUUUGAUGAUUAUUAUUCUGAAUUUUUCAGUUUUAACGUGUGAGAGUGAUUCUUGCAUUCUUCAGUUCUUGAACGAACUGAAUCUGACUUAUCGAAGAUUAACUGGCUUCGUGGCGUCAUUCUACUCAUUCCAAUAGUGUUGGUGCCUUGGGGCAGGUUUCCAUUGUGUCGCACUCCUAUCAGACCUAUUUCGGCUUUCCGGGAUCAGAUCUCAAUCUUGAUUGUGGGUUGCGUGACCACGUGAUCACGAGGUUCGCAUCAGUUGGUAUCAGAGCUAGGCUCCGAAACAAGGUCAUAUCAUUCUGUUAUUUUCGUUUUUUUUUUUAGUGUCCCUUAAGUUUUUCAGUGUUUGCAUCCAUCUUCUUGUUCUUCGUGUCUGUGUCAUCUAAGCAAAAAAAAAAAAAAAGCUAUAUUUCAUCUUGUUACUGUCUCUAAUCAUAUCAGUUUGUUAAAAAAAAUCAGAAAGAAAUAGAGAAAAGAGUGAUUAGUUGAAAUUUGAAGGAUCAUUCAAUUUUUGCCGCAGAAACACAAAUCUUGGUGAACCAUAAGCAAACCACCUCGGAAUCAAUUUAAACUUCAUAUUCAGUCUAUUGGGGGUGGGAUCGCAUGAUAUAUCAAAUUUGGGCUUAUUCUGAUAUUAUUUGCUUGAGGUUUUAAUUGAGUUUCAAUUCUGCCGCAAAAACACUACUCUUAGUGAACCCUAGGUAAAACACCUUGGAAUCAAUUUAAACUUCAUAUUCAGUCUAUUUGGGGUGAGAUCGCAUCAUAUAUCAAAUUUGGACAUAUUUCGAUAUUGUUUGCUUGAGGUUUUAAUUCGAGGUUCAAUUCUGCCGCAGAAACACUACUAUUAGUGAGCCGUAAGAAAAACACCUUAGAAUCAGUUGAAACUUCAUAUUAUGUGUAUUGGGGAUGAGAUCGCACCAUAUAUUAAAUUUGGGCAUAUUUUGAUUCCGGCUUCUGGAGGUUUUAAUUGGAGGAUCAAUUCUGCCGCAAACUGAUCAUACAAGGAGUUUGGGUACCUAGAAAUAAGAGAACGACCUAUAAAUUGAUUUUUGGUGAUUUCAUAGUAUUGUAAUAAUACAAAUUAAAUUCGAGGUCAUUUGGAUAUCGGUUUCUUUAGGUUUCCCGAAUUAGGUCUUGUUUUGUCGUAACGGGUCUGUUUGGUGUUAUCUUUCAAAACUUGUUUUGUUUCUGUUGAUUUCGUUCCUGCCAUUAUACUAUCAUCAUAUUUUGAUAUUUGGCUGUUGUUUGAGUCAUUUUCAUCACCCUCGCAUUAGUUUGUUUUUCGAUAAGUUCUGGUCCAAACAAAAGUCAGAUUUGUAUUCUCGAGUCUAAAUCAAUGUUCUUCAUGCUAUAAACUCUAUUCUUGUCGUCGUCUUCUUGUUUUUUUCCCCUAUCUGUGUCAUGUAUUCACUAAGGGAGAGGGAACAGAGGAGGAUUGUAGAUCAACGAUGCGAAAUACUAAGCCAUGGUUUGGGGGUUCUAGAACGAGAAGUUGAUAAGUGUAGAAGAUUAUUCUAUGAUCUUGAAGCUUCAUGGGAAAAAGAGGUACAACGCCAAAAGGAUGAAAGACGAAGGAGAGUCGCUGUGGUUAUCAUUCAAAAGUAUGUACGCAAGUGGUUAGUACGGCAUGCUUAUUUGAAAUUCUUGUCAGUCACUACUUCUAUACAGUGUUGUUGGAGAAAUGUGUUAGCAAUAAGGGGAUUCCGAAGGCUUAAACAAGAGGCUACUGAAGUCACCAUUAAUGCUAUUCAAGAUUCGAGGGCGAAUCUUCUUGAAGAGGGAGGGAAUGAUACGGUUCAGCCCUGUGAUACGACCCAAGUAAGGUCAGAUUCGGAUUUUGGCGUAAAAAGCGCAACAAUCCAGGUUUACGGCAACAGUCAUAAUUCUCAAUCCGACCGUUGGAUCGGGCUAAUAUUUUAUGUGGACUCUCCAGACAUAUCUUACUACCUUGGGUUAAAAUUGCAGGUCAAUCGGAGUUCGGUAAGGCACCCCAAUACUGGUCAACAGAGGCUGUACGGAUUUUGUUAUUUACUUCCAUUUGACUUGUGGACUUCCUAUUCUUUUCCUCCAAGGAUGUGAGAGCUGGUUUUGGGAAUUUCCUAGUUCCACAAGGAUCUUUAAUGAGUUGCAAUAUAAUCUCCUAGUGUGGCAAGGAUUCAUUAAUGUUUCAGAAUCCUUUUCUUAUAAGGAUUCCUUAUUCAUCCUAGCUACACAAGGAAAGAAGGGCUGGUGGUAUUUAAUGACAAGUUACUUAUUUUUAUUAUUUUCUUUAAUGUUUGGGCUUAAUUAAAAACUUUGUUUGGAGCUAGGGUCCAAGGCUUGUUUGGAUCAGGUUAUGGGCUUUUUAGCUUAGGGUUUUGGGCCAGUUUUGAGUGGACCUCAUAUAAGUCCACAUAAGGGGUCCAUUAGGGUUAACUUUUCAAGAACUAUUUAAACUCAUGUAAGCCACAAUUUCGGCAGCUUUUGAUGAUUAUUAUGCUGAACUUUUCAGUUUUAACGUGUGAGAGUGAUUCUUGCAGUCUUCAGUUCUUGAACGAACUGGAUAUGACUUAUCGAAGAUUAACUGGCUUCGUGGCGUCAUUCUACUCAUUCCAAUAGUGUUGGUGCCUUGGGGCAGGUUUCCAUUGUGUCACACUCCUAUCAGACCUCUUUCGGCUUUCCGAGAUCAGAUCUCAAUCUUGAUUGUGGGUUGCGUGACCACGUGAUCACGAGGUUCGCAUCAUUUCUACAUGAGGACGAAGAACGAAACAAGUACAACCAAAGACUCUAAAUGAGGAAUAAUCAGGAACAUACCCAUAUAACUUUUCAAAAGGAGAUAGACCCGAACUAUGAGAAGAUGGAAUUGUAUUAAUUAAACUUACAGCAGUAAGAACAGCUUCUCCCCAAAACUCACUAGGAACAAAGGCAGACAACAAGAGAGAACGAGCAGUUUCAACAAUGUGCCUAUGUUUUCUUUCAGCAACACCAUUUUGCUCAGGAGUAUCUGUACAAGAAGUUUGGUGGAUGGUUCCAUCUAAGGCAAGCAAUUGGCAAAAUUUAUUAGAGGUGUAUUCCCCACCCAAAUCACACCUAAAACAUUUAAUCACAGCAGAAUGUUGAGUUUUGAUAAGAGCUCGAAAAGCUGCAUAUAUCUCAAAAAAUUCAGAACGAUGUUUCAUUAAAUAAACCCAACAAUAACGAGUAUGAUCAUCAAUAAAAGAGACAUAAUAUCGAGACCCUCCUUUUGUGGCAACAGGAGAAGGUCCCCAUACAUCAGAAUGAAUCAAAUCAAAUGGUGAAGAAGAAACAGAAAUACUUCUAUUAAAAGGUAAGGCGGAAAAUUUUGCCAAUUUACAUCCACUACAAUCCGAAAUGUCACAAGUUUUCAAAUUUCCUAAAGCUCCUGUGGAUGCCAAAAAUCUCAAACGAGAAGAUGAAACAUGACCUAGACGGGAAUGCCAUAAAUAAAAACUAGAAGAUGAAAGACUCAAACGAAAGGAAGACAAAUCAACUGUAGUAGCAGCAGCAGCGGCAGCAGCAACUGGCACUUUUAACUCAUCCAAAAUAUAUAGUCCAUUCUCUCUACGGCCUGUCCCAAUCAGCUUCUGAGACUGCAGAUCCUGUAUACAACAAAAUAAACCAGAAAACAUGACUAAAUAAUCACCAGAAUCACAUAUUUGACCAACAGACGCAAGAUUCAAUUUGAGUUUUGGAAUAAGAUAAACAUUAGGGAGAGACAAGUGAGGUGUGACAACAGAACCAACACCUGCUAAGGGCAUAGGAGUGCCAUCAGCAGUCAUAACAGGAAUGGAGGACAAAGGGGAAACAGAGGUAAAAGAUGAGGAAUCUGGAGACAUAUGAUGAGAAGCACCAGAAUCCAAGACCCAUUCAGAGUGUGACAUACCUGAGGAACUAUGAUGCAACUGACCUAUGGAAGAAGAAGCGGACAUUGCUUGUGGCUGCAAGGAGAGAAACUUCUGAAAUUGCUCAGCCAAAAUAUUAGGAUCGGUAAUAGAACUUGAGGAAGCUACUGCUGCAGUAUUGUGGUGUGGUGGUUUAUAACCCUGAGGUGUUCUAUGAGCAUUAGAUUGUGACUGAUUGCCAGACUUCCAAGCUUGAUUCUGCUGUCUCAACUUAGAACACUAAGCCUUCCAAUGACCUUUCUGCUUACAGAAACUGCACUCAUCGAAGCCAACCUUUGUGUAAGGCUUAUUCUGAUGAUUAGAGAAUGACUUAGAAGGCACUGCUAAUACUGAAGGAUUCGAAGCAGAAAAAAUUUCCUUUUCAGAAUAAGACUGAAGACGUAUUUCUUCAGCUAAUAACUCACUAACAACAGAGUCAACAGAAGGCAAUGGAGAACGAUGCAGAAUUGAACCCCUAAGUCCUUUGAAAUCACUGUGAAGUACUGUUAAAAACUGUACCAAUCGUUGUUGUUCUCUACGCUCAAUAUAGGCACCACAUGCCUUUAAUUUUGUCGAUUCUGUAAGAGCCAAUUGAUCCCAAAGAUCUGUCAUAGCAGAAUAAAACUCUUGGAUACUCAUACUGUUCUGAUGAAGAGCUCGUAUGUCAUUCUCUAAUUGAUACUGUUUUGCAAAAUUUGAUUGUGUGAAUAACCUUUGCAGAUGAUCCCAAACCUCUUUUGCUGUCUCAUACUUCGUCAACUGCAUACCUAUCGAAUGCUCAACAGAAUUGUUGAUCCAAGUAAUGAUCUUUGCAUUAUUUGCUUCCCAUGUAUCUAUCAAAACAACAUCUCCCUCCUCAACAUUCUUAGGUAUCAUAUAAGUCCCACUAACAUACCCCCACAUCUUCUUACCCUUAAGGAAAUUUCUCAUCACAUAACUCCAAUAUGAAUAAUUCUUCCCAUCCAACCUCACACUCACAGACUGAAGUGAAUCAUCUCUUUUAGUGGCCAUAAUCAGCAAUCACAAAUAACCAGAAUGCAAAAGCAGCGGAAACAAAAUACUAAAUUGCAGAAACUAAACAAAUCUCUUCUCGAAAUUAUACGAUUACUCCAAAACACAAAACAAAUUUGCAAAAACUGAACGCAAAUACCAAAUUGCAGAUGCUGAAGGGAAGACGAAAUACCAAAAUAAUUGCAGAAACUGUCGAAAUACCUAAUUUUGCAGAAGCGAAAGACAAAAUAUCACUCCAAAAAAAAAUUGAAUUAAGCCUCGUUUCAUAAAACCAGCUCUGAUACCAUGUUAAACUUAUUGAGAUCAAACACAAAAGGGAGGCUAGAAUUCUGAAUAAUCUGUAUAUUAUGAAUGCUUAGACUUAACCUAAAUACAAAUAAAGUAUAUAUGGGUUAAACUGAAAGUACUAUUCUACCCUUAAUAAAUAAUACUACAUAAAUAUUAUUUAACAAUGACAUUAAAAUUUAACAUUUAUGCAUGACAAUUUUUUUAUAUAUUUUUUAUGAUAUAGCCAUAUAAUAGAAAGUACUUUUUUUAUAAUUUAAUUUUCAAUAAAAUCACUUUUAAAACCAGCUAAUGAGGCCCAAAUCAUAUUUUUUUUAUUAGGGUAUACAGAACCAAAUACCAACUCGCAACACCAGGGUCUCACGUCAUAGAUUUUUAGAAUGAGUGGUUUAUAUUAAAAAAUAAAAUUUCAAAAAAUAAAACAAAUUACUGAUCGGUCUAAAGAAAUUUCCUGCUAGUCUCCCCGGUUUUUUUCAUUUGAAGUCAUGAAUACUCUGAUUUUUCAGGAUUACUUCUCAAUAUCUUACUUACCUUAAUUGAUCUUCUAGCAAAAGGAUACUUCAUUUCUAACGAAGAUGCUGACUGGCUGGGUGCUUCCUCCGCCUCCAGCCCUCUUCCUUUAAUUGAUCUAUCUUUCUCGAUAGGUGGCACGAGUUUCUUCACAUGGUGAACUGAUUUUUUUGUAACAUAAAAAAUAACAAUGGCCCUAGAAAUCUAAAUGUUAAUUAAAAAAAAUUAACUUUUAAAUUUAAGUGAGGUUUUCAAAACCUGUAAAUUAAAUUAUGCAAACAGGAUAAUUUAAUAGAAAAAAAACAGCUUAAUUUUAGAAAUAACUAAUUUUGAAGGACAAAGCUGAAAAAAAAACAACUUUAAAAAAUAUAUGAUUCACCUAGUUUAACCUACUGUCUAAAUCAUGAGAUGUGGAUAAUUAAAUGAAAGGAAACUGAAAAAAAUAAUGAACUUCAUUUUUCAAAAUGAACUUUGAAGGAAGUUGUUGUUACUCAAUUUAGUUAAAGGGUGAAAUUAAAAAAAAAUCAAAUUAAUAAAAAAAUCCAAAACAAAAAAAAUUUAAGAGAUCAAAGAUCAAUUUUUUUUUUUUAAAUCAAGAUUAGGAUCCAAAAAUAAAAUUAAAAACAAAUUAAGAUUUGAUAAAUAAAUCAAAAUUAAAAAUCAAAAGACUUCAUUUCCGGUCAAGAUUGAAUGUUGUUACCCUGUCCAGCUGCACCUUUCUUUCAAUCUUACUCAUGAAUUUAUAAUCUAUCAUUUCUUUUCCAUAUAUAUACGCAUGCAGGGCAAAUCAUUUUAUACAUCCUUUUUAAGAAAUUAAACCACCAAGGCCAUGGCUUCCCACAUCUUUUUCUUCUCCACACCUUUUUUGGUUUUUUCCUCACUUGCUUAUGCUUCCUUCUUUGCUUCUUUUGCUUACUCGGCUAGUACUGGAGCUGCUGAAGUAGCAAAUGGAAGGAAGGAAGCAGAAGCUCUUCUAGAAUGGAAAGUCAGUCUUGACAACCAAAGCCAGUCUCUCCUGUCUUCUUGGGCUGGAGACAGCCCUUGCAACUGGUUCGGAAUCAGCUGCGACAAGUCCGGUAGUGUCAGCAACAUAAGUCUGUCCAAUUCUAGCUUGAGAGGUACGCUUAAUAGUCUCCGAUUCUCUUCCUUUCCUAACUUGAUUGAGCUUUUCCUUCCCAACAACUCGCUCUAUGGGUCCAUUCCUUCACAUAUAGGUAACCUUUCUAACCUCUCCAUCCUUGACUUGUCUUACAAUAACAUUUCUGGCAACAUUCCACCAGAAAUUGGAAAUUUAGAAUCUCUCACUGUUUUAGCUUUGUUAUUUAAUAAACUAACCGGGACAAUACCAACAUUUUUAGAAAAUUUAAAAAACUUAUCUAUACUUAGCCUUUGGAGUAACAGUUUUUCUGGUCCCCUUACUAUUAUUGGAAACCUCCCGAGAUCUCUCACUAUUUUAGAUUUGUCGUCUAAUAAACUAACUGGUACAAUACCAGCAUCUUUAGAAAAUUUAAAAAGAUUAUCUAUUCUUAGCCUUCAUAGUAACAAUCUUUUUGGUCCCCUUACUUUUAUUGAAAACAUGACGAGAUCUCUCACUAUUUUAGAUUUGUCGUUUAAUAAACUAACUGGUACAAUACCAGCAUCUUUAGAAAAUUUUAAAAGCUUAUCUGUACUUAGCCUUCUUAAUAACAAUCUUUUUGGUCCAAUUACUUUUAUUGAAAACAUGACCAGAUCUCUCACUAUUUUAAAUUUGUCGUUUAAUAAACUAACUGGUAUAAUACCAGCAUCUUUAGAAAAUUUAAAAAAUUUACAUUUACUUAACCUUGGGAAUAACAAUCUUUUUGGUCCCAUUCAAAUAAACAACCUUACACAUUUGUAUACGUUACAAAUAUAUUCUAAUAGAUUGUCUGGUAAUCUACCACGAGAUGUGUGCCUUGGUGGAUUACUUUUAUAUUUUAGUGCGGAUGACAAUUAUUUCACGGGACCUAUCCCGAAAAGCUUGAGAAACUGCAGCAGCUUGUUGAGACUCAGACUUGAGAGAAACCAACUUAGUGGAAACAUAUCUGAAGCUUUUGGCACACAUCCUCAUUUGUACUACAUGGAUUUGAGUGAUAAUGAAUUGCACGGUGAACUUUCAUUGAAAUGGGAGCAGUUCAACCAUCUGACCGCCUUCAGAAUUUCCGGAAACAAAAUAUCUGGAGAGAUACCAGCUGCUCUUGGAAAGGCAACUCAUCUACAAGCUCUUGACCUCUCGUCAAAUCAACUGGCUGGGAGAAUUCCCAAAGAAUUGGGAAAUUUGAAGUUGAUUGAACUUGCACUCAACGAUAACAGACUUUCAGGUGAUAUUCCUUUCGAUGUCGCAUCGCUAUCUGAUAUCGAAAGGCUUGGCCUGGCUGCGAACAAUUUUAGUGCAACAAUUCUUAAACAGCUUGGCAAGUGCUCAAAACUGAUAUUCUUGAAUAUCAGCAAGAAUAGAUUGACAGGGAGUAUUCCUGCUGAGAUGGGGUCUUUACAGUCUCUUCAAAGUCUUGAUCUCAGUUGGAAUUCCCUCAUGGGACGUAUAGCACCGGACCUUGGACAGAUGCAGCAGCUAGAGGUAUUAAACCUCUCCCAUAAUAUGUUGUCUGGUCUAAUUCCAACCAGUUUUAAUAGACUGCAAGGCCUCACUAAAGUGGAUGUAUCCUAUAACAAGCUAGAGGGCCCCAUUCCUGACAUCAAAGCCUUUCGCGAGGCACCAUUUGAAGCAAUUCGCAACAACACCAACCUGUGUGGCAAUGCAACUGGUUUGGAGGCUUGUUCUGCUCUCAUGAAAAACAAAACUGUGCACAAGAAGGGCCCCAAAGUUGUCUUUUUGACGGUCUUUUCUCUGCUGGGUAGUUUGUUGGGCCUGAUUGUAGGUUUUCUUAUCUUUUUCCAAAGCAGAAGAAAGAAAAGGUUCAUGGAAACACCACAAAGAGAUGUUACCGCGAGAUGGUGCCCUGGUGGGGAUCUGCGCUACGAGGACAUCAUUGAGGCUACUGAGGAAUUCGACUCCAAAUAUUGCAUUGGUACUGGAGGGUAUGGAGUUGUUUACAAAGCUGUACUUCCAUCAGAACAAGUCCUUGCCGUGAAGAAAUUCCACCAAACACCAGAAGUUGAGAUGAGCAGCUUGAAAGCUUUUAGAAGCGAGAUUGAUGUCUUAAUGGGUAUACGGCAUCGAAAUAUUGUGAAGCUGUAUGGUUUCUGCUCGCAUGCCAAACACUCAUUUUUGGUAUAUGAAUUUGUGGAAAGGGGAAGUUUAAGAAAGGUACUGGACGACGAGGAACAAGCAGCAAAGAUGGAUUGGGAUAAAAGGAUAAAUCUUAUCAAAGGCGUAGCCAAUGCUUUAUCCUACAUGCACCAUGACUGCUCCCCUCCGAUUAUUCAUAGAGACAUUUCCAGCAACAAUGUUCUUUUGGAUUCAGAAUAUGAGGCUCAUGUCUCUGACUUCGGCACAGCCAGGCUCUUAAUGCCUGACUCGUCCAAUUGGACAUCAUUUGCUGGCACCUUUGGGUACACAGCUCCAGGUAUGUCGUUAAUUUUCAAUGUCACCUUCUACAUUAGGUAAAUUAUUUUUGCAAAAUAUAGCAUGACCAGCCUCUUUUGCAGAGUUGGCAUACACAAUGAAAGUGGAUGAAAAAUGUGAUGUUUAUAGCUUUGGAGUAUUAACAUUGGAAGUAAUGAUGGGAAAGCAUCCUGGAGAUUUCAUCUCAUCUCUGAUGUUAUCUGCCUCCACCUCCUCAUCAUCACCAAUUGGUCACAAUACAGUCUUGAAGGAUGUCUUAGACCAGCGCCUCCCACCUCCUGAAAACAAGCUUGCGGACGGUGUGGCACAUGUUGCAAAACUGGCGUUUGCUUGCUUGCAGACCGAUCCUCACUAUCGGCCAACAAUGCGACAGGUUUCUACAGAGCUUACAACUCGAUGGCCUCCAUUGCCAAAGCUAUUCUCCACGAUGGAAUUGGAAGAUAUAAUGGUUCACAGAAAUGUUAUUGGCUGAAUUUUUACAGUAUACUUGGGUGUUUGUGAAAAGCAACUUGUUUGGCAAAAUGUAAUAUUCAAUAAUCAAGUCUAUGUUAGAUAUUCCGUCCAAAGCAUCAUUUUAGAUGGAACUUGGUGAAUGUCAUGAAUCAUGUAAUUCAUUGCCUUCAUUUGUAUCAAUUGCCUUCCUACUACAUAUUUUUUUUGGAGAGUAAUAAACAAUCGAAAUUCCAACACAAAGACCGUACAAUAAUGAUGAACAAAAUUUCCACAAUCAAACCAAACUCGUCCUGAAAGAUCAAAUAACGUCAGUUGAAAUUCCAUAUUAAUUCCUCCGCGUCUAAAGUGGGCUUCCCUCUUAGAAAGAAACAAAUAAGUAAUACCUAACACAAAUCUUUAAAUCACAAGUUGCAAAAACCUCGUAUUAAAAAUAGGAGAUAGUCAUUCUAAUCUCAAAUCUCUACCCCCUCGAACUUUUCCAGGAUUUGAAUCUAAAAAACCUCGUAUUAAAAAUUCAAAACUGCAAGGUCUUAACUCUUGAAUGGAUCGUCCCCCUAUUCUUCCCAGCCCUGUGAUAAGGAAUGCUGCUUCUGUUCAAAAACUCUGUUGUAGAACUGUAGGCAUAAUUUUCUCUCAAGGUUCAGGUUAAUUUUGUACCUGGAAGGCCAACGGGCCUUGGCAUCAAAACAUUUUGUAAUUUUCAACAGUUUUCAAGGGUUUACGCAAUUGUGCUGAAUUAUAAGUGGGAUUUCCUGAAUUGAGACAAGACCAAACCUACAGCCAGAAAAAGUCUUUCUUUACCAAACAAAAACAGAGCGUCUCUGUAUCUUUCCUCUGGGCUUCAAAAAAUCUAAUAGAUCUUGUCUUAUGGUAGGCUGCUUCAGUUUCCUUACGAAACUUUUAUAUAUUUCUAGCAAUUCACAUGACAUCAUCAAAUGAUACAAGUCUUUAAUAAGAAUCUACAACAACACUAGAACAUCCUCGUUGACGAUCCGUGCUUCUCUGCAAAAAUCCAUUAGUAUCUUUCCAAGAUCACGAAACUCCAAAACAAAGAACAUCCAAAACCCUUUGCAAACUCCAACAGAACCCUAAUUGAAUAUAACAGCUGAAAACAUCCCAGUGAAGUGCUUGCGAUUCAAAAAAAUGAAGUCUAAUAAUUGACUACUUAGCAAAGCAGAAGUUAUGAGACACUUAUGAUGCGUCUGUUGUGGAUAAAAAGGUUGUUUCCGUAGAAAGCAUUUUUCAAGACGAAUAGGAACCUUGUGGCAGUUGAUUUGAAACAUAGGAAUUGGAAGGAUCAAAAUUCAGAAUGUCUGGAAAGCAAUGAUACUUGAUAUUGGAGAAUGUGAUGGGAGCACUAAAUGGUGUUGUUUCCGUAGAAAGCAUUCAAUGCGUUGCUGAUUUUUCAAGCAAAGACUGAUUGGGAGGGGAACUUUGAAAUAGUUAAACGGAAUGAGGAAAAGGAGGCAGAGGAAGAGGAAGAUGAGAAAAGAAAUGAAAGUAAGAAAGAUGGGAAGUGUGUCAAAGGGAAGAGGAAGAGGAAGAUGAGAAAAGAGAUGAAAGUAAGAAAGAUGGGUAGUGUGUCAAAAGGAAGAGCGUUCAUGAGUACUAGUAAUAUUCAUGAGCUUAUAUUAGAAGGUGCAUUGGGUACGACUGAGGAGAAAGGGGGAUGGUAAUGACAUGGAUGUCGAGAAAGGAGAGAAAGUAAGCAAGAAGAAGAAAAUGAUUUUCAUAUUUAGAGUAGGGAUUGAGAAGGGAAAUCUGUUCUCUAUACUAUCUUGACAUCAUUGAUAAUAAUCUACAUGAGAUUUACUCCUGCACUUCAACGCAGCCACAUAAGCACAUGCCCAAACUGAAAUAUUUCAUUUAGUUUUCGAGCACCGGGGCCAAGUCCAUUUCCAUGAAAAUGAUAGAGGAUGUACGUGUGCGCUUCUAAUUCAAAACAAAAAGAAAAUAUGUUGAAAAAUCAAACAUUUGAAAACUCACAAAAGAUGGAGCAGGCUGCUUCUCAAACAGCAGAACAUGUUUUAUAACACUACAAGGCAAUCAUCCAAUAGCAAACAAAAAUCAAUUAAAUUUGAUGGCAAUAGACCAAAACCUCGUUCAAAUAAAAUUGACAGAUGAAUCAUAUAGCAGUCAAGGGAAAAUAUAGUUGAUAAAAUAAAAGUGAUUUUCUGCUUGAAUUGUGUCAGUGACUAACUUCAGUUGAAGAUUUUAAAGAGGGCAUCUGGAUAUGGGGAUUACUCUUCCUAUACGGCUACUUGCUGAGUUACUGGAAUAGUAAACAGGAAACCAGCCAGAAAAUCAAAUAUAACAGAGACCAAACACAAAAUUUAGGGGAGUAGUCGUCGUAUCAGCAGGGAGAACCAAGCAUUUCCAGACAAAUGCAAAGUCUUUCAUUGUGGCAUUUGAUGCUUUUGUGGUCUCAAGCAUGAUCCACCUGGUGAUCCCAGAAGUUGUAAAGGCUUGUUGAAGAGACUUGCUUCACCUUCAAGUUUCAUUCUGACCAGCCAACUCAAAACUUUUGAUGAGAGCCAUCAGAGCAAUAAAAUUUCUUCAGCUUCUUUCUACAAUUUUAACAGCUCUUUUCCAUUUUUCUCAAGGUGUAAUUCCAGGAACAUAAAGGGACAGCGGGCUUGGGCUUCUUUAUUUUUUCAACCAGCACAGCUUGAGUUGUUAGAACUAUCCCAGCAAUUGAGAAGAUCUUCGUAUCUACCAGUCAUUGCAUUGUAACCAAUUCUCCAGUCACAAGAUCGAAUAUUCUCCACCACAACUGCUCCAUCAAUCCCUGCAUUAGUUGCAAUUGUUUUUGCAGGUGCAAGAAGUGCCUGUAAUGCAUCAUUGGUACGUGUUACUACAUGGGAGAAGAAAUUUCCCCUUAUAGUAAUUUAGAAACCACUACUUGGAGGGUUUCUCCAUGCUACGCCCUGCAUUUAUAACCAUUUCACAAGGAUGUCCAACUGUAUCACUAAUUAUGAAAGGAACCUUGGUCCGUUUUACAAGUCUUGUGCAAUAAUCUGCUUUAGCACAAACGCUGCAUGGUAACUCAUUCACAGACGCUGCUUAUUUCUAUUUGAGACGCAACAUUCACCAAUCCAAAUAAAGAAAUGAGCAUAAAAGGCACAUCUCACAAAAGAAAAGAAAGUCACCUUAGAUCAAAUCCUAGUGAGGCGAAAGUGUGAAGAAAAUAACUUUUGAAAAAAGAAAGGAACCGAGAACAGACCUUUGCAACAAUAUCAGCACCAAUCUUCUCAUUUUCAUCUUUCAUGGAAUUUUUUAUUGAGGAGAUCUGCUCCGAGAGAUGUACAUAUGUUGCACCACCACCAGGUACUAUCCCUUCAUCCAUGGCAGCAAAUGUAGCAUUCUUUGCAUCUUCAAUUCUGAGUUUCCUAUCUUCAAGUUCUGUCUCCGUGUGUGCUCCUACCUAAAUUUGCAUGCUAAACAAGUUAAAUCUAAAGAUAACUUUAAAAUAAAACACCAUCAAACAAAAUAUUAGAGUCCUGUCGUUUGUCCUAGUAUUUCUUAAGGAAAACAGGGCAGAAAAUUCAUCCCUGCUACUGAGCUAACGCUACACAAGGAGCCUAUGUCCUUAGCAGUAAUUCUUCACACUUAUAGCCAGAUUUGUCAAGAUGCCCAUCUAUUUUUCCGAAAUAUAUUGUAUACAACUUUAGCAAUUCUUUCUGAGAGCUUGAUCACAAACCUUGAUGACAGCCACACCACCAGAUAAUUUAGCAAUUCUCUCUGAGAGCUUUCUUGAAAGGGCAGCAUUAUCUGUUUCAGCGAGGUCCUUUUUUAUCUGAAGAAUUCUUGCCUGAAUUUCAGCUUUGGUAGCUGAGUCAGCAACUAUGGUUGUUGAAUUACUUGUUAUGGUAACUUUUCGUGCAAUGCCAAGUUGAUCCGAGGUUACACUUCCGAGUGUCAGCCCAAAAUCACCAGAGAGAAAAUCAGCACCUGAUGGUUUUGGUAUGGCAUGAAUUACACAGCAUAUCAGAUGCAAUGACCUUCCUAUGAUAGUCAUAUGAGAACAGAAUACAAUCUUGCGCAAGCAUCCAAGUAAAGAAUUUAUUAUUUGUAGUGCAUAAAAAGUAAUUAUAAUUUUUUUAAUUGAGGCCUCGGUACUGAUCAAAGGAUUUUACAAUCUUAACAAAGCAUCCAAGUAAAACAUUUAUUGUUUCUAGUGCAUGAAAAAGAGUAACAGUUCUUAUAAUUGAGGAGAGUAACGAUUCUUAUACUUGAGACCUAGGUAAUUAUCAAAGGAUAUCUUAAUUAACAUGAUAUACUCAAAAGUUUAUGCACCUGCAAGGGUCAUACACAAACAUAUAAGAACAUCCAGUGCACACAUAGGAAGGCUCGCAUAUGUAACACGAACCCAACUCACGAGGAAGAUAAAUAAUUCAUUAACUGAUAUGUCAAUAUAUUUCAAUAUAGCACAACUUACAAUAACCAAUUUAAGUUGGAAAGAAAGAUGCAAGUUCACCUGUCACAAGAGGUCACAAGAGCAAUGUCUUGCAACAAUGCUUUCUUUCGAUCUCCAAAUCCGGGGCAUUUGACAACAGCAACAUUGAGCAAACCUUUCAUUUUGUUCACCACUAGUGUUUCCAAAACCAGCUUUGAGAUAUCCUCAGCAAUGAUUGACAAUGGGACACUGAGUUGGGUAGUCUUCUCCAACACAGGAACUAUUUCUUGGACAUUUGCAAUCUUCUGAUCCGUUACAAGGACUUUGGCCUUGUCAAACUCCACCAAAGAUUUUUCCUGGUUUGUGAUGAAUUGGGGUGACAUCUAACCCUUGUCAAACUGCAGAGAAAGAACACCAAACUUAACUGGAAAUGAAAACAUACAUACUUCAUAAACAGAGAAAAAGUUGAAAAAUUUAUCCACUCAUAGGAGGCAUAGUGUUUACACAAGUAUUGCUACCCUGUUACUGAAAAUACAAAAUAGUUAACCUGGAAAGUACAAAGAGCAGAAGCUCAACCAACCUAAAUAUUUACAGAUAAUGAAUGGUUUAACCAUUCAGACUAUGACUAAUGAUAAAACAUAAAAUCAUAAACUUCUAACAUAAACUUUGAUGUAAUGCCAAUUUUCCAGUGAUUUAUCUGACAAGAUUUUACACUGUGUCUGGGUGUUGGGGUGUCUGGGUGUUGGUCCUCCAUGGUUGGUGUAACAGUAUUAAAUGUGCACGCUUCGGCAGGCUGGCAAAUAACCCCGUGACAGUUGGCCUCUCAACUCUAUAUAUGUUGACCUUGUCUAAAGCAACAUUUUUGAUCCAGCCCAGCCCGUACUGGCUGGGUCAGACCUAGCACAAACAAAAAGAAAAAGAAAAAGUUGAGGCCUGGAUGGGCCUGGUCCCCAGGCCCAACCAGCCCAAUUUGUUUUGGGCUAAAGACUUGUUUAUCAAAACACAUUUUUAUAUUUUACCCCUUUUAUUUCAUCUCUUUUUAUUUUGUUAUUUAGUCAAAUAAGUCUUUUUGGAUAUCAAAAAAUUAUGAAAACCUUUGUGGUCCCUCUUGAAUUUACUUUUUAAAGAUCUACUUUUUAAUAAUUAUUUAAUUUUUUAAAAAUCAUUACGGUGUCAGGAUACAACAAUACUAAGCAGGCAGCUUGCACAGUUUGUCAACUUUCUUUAGAAAUAACAGAAUAUUAGAUGGACUUCUAUAGAUGCUGUUGGGUAAUCCGGUGGUGUUUUAGUCUUAUGGAAUGAUAACAGAAUUAUUUUUUAUUUGAAAAUAUAUUGAAAUAUUUUUUUAUUUUUUAAAAUUUAUUUUUAACAUUAGUACAUCAAAAUAAACAAAAAAAUAAUAAUUAAUUAAUACAACUAAGCUCUUGAUAAAAUUAAUUAAUACAACAUAAACAAUAUUUUUAUGAUAAACAAAAAUGAAUUAUAAUAAGUUCUUGAUGUUUUUUUAUUGGUAAUGAUAAUAAACUUCUUUCAGUUUUGACAAAUUAGUAAUACAACUAAAAAUCUUGAGGAUGUAAUAAAAACCAAACUUAUCCUAAAAGAAGUGGCCUAUAUUGCUUUCUAUAUAUUUUUUUAAAUAAUUGACAAAAUUUUCAAAUUUGAAAUUUCAUAGCGAAUGUCACCAUUGAUAAAAAGACAAGGUUUUUGUUUUUUUUUAAAAAAGAAAUUUCACUUCAAGAAGGGCAAACUACAGUACAGAACUCUAGCUACAUGCAGUUGAAUAUUCCUUCUUCUCUGUAUCUAUUCAAAAGGAAAUCUUACACACACACACAGUAAUAUCUUUAAUACUCAUUAAAAAUAAUUAAUUUCAAACAUUAAUAAAUUAUUUUUAAAAAUUUUCUUAUAAUUAACAUGCAUGGCCAAAUAAUAAAAGCAAUUAUUUUAUUUUCCAUGAAAAUUAAUUUAUUUUUCAAUAAUCCUUUUUUUAUGAAAAUAUUUUAAAACUCAACAAACGACAGGCCUAAAUUAAAAACUUUUUAUUAGGAUAAACAAAGCCAGAUAACAACAACACACAAUAUCAGUGCCUCAAAUCUUAGAAAGAGUGGUUUAUAUUGAAGAAUACUACUUCUCGAAAUAAAACAAACUGAUCGGUCACUGUUAUUUAAUAUUCCAUAUUAUCAGCUAGCUGAAUUAAUUUGAUUUAUCUAAAUGAACCGACAAAAUAAGUGAAAAGGAAAUUUUAGACAACAUAUCACGUAACAAUAGUACCUGUCCAAAAUUAUAGUACACCUCCCCAGACGCCAUUGAAUAUUCAAUCUUCUUACAUACUGAGUGGACCAUGUAACACAACAUGGAAUGUCAAGCAGCUUCGUUCUUCCAACAUGAGUGGAUCUGUUUUUUGCCAUUGAGAAAUCCGAAUGAUGCAUGCCAAGAUUGUACUUAUGCAAUCAUUUUUAAAGUGGAACUGUCAAUCCGUAGUCAGGCCCACUUUUAUGACAUAGACAGAGAAAGCCCGCAGGACCAUUUUGAGCUACCUUCACCUGUUACAUCUACUUGUCAUUUUAUAAUUAUAAUAAUUAUUUCUUUUAUAUAUAUUUAUUUAUUUGGACCACAUUGUUCUCCUUACAUAUAAUUUAAGUUUUAUUAUAGUGAAUUCUCAAAUUAAAUUUUAAAAUUAUAAUAAUUAUUAUUUUUAAUUAUAUAUUAACUUGGAUUAUCUCGAUCUUUUCCAUAAGUAACUUGAGCUAUACCUCCAUCAAUUCUCAAAUCAAAUUUUAAAAUUAUAAUAAUAAUUUUUAUAAUAUAAUUUUAGAAAUCAAUAAAUAUUUAUCAUACAAAAUCACAUAAAAAAUAAAUGAUAAAAGAAUACUUCAUUUCUAAUGAAGAUGUUGGCUGGCUGGGUGGCUUUCUCUGCCUCCAGCCCUCAACCUUUAAUUGAUCUAUUUUUCUCGAUAGGUGGCACGAGUUUUUUCAUACGGUGAACUGACUUUUUUGUAAUAUAAAAAAACAAAAUAUUAUAAGCGUAUAAAUUAAAUUUUUCAUGGGAUUUUUAAUAGUACAAGAUUUGCAAAAAUAAAGUCAUGGAUCAACAUAACUUUGGUGUGAUUAGUUUACUUUUUUCUUUUUCUCUUUUUGUGUUUUCAAUUCUUGGCUGCUAUUUUUUUUUAUAAAAGAGUUGAUUUUUUAAAAAAAUAAUUUAUGAAAUUCAUUUUUUUCACAUGUCAAUGCAUCUUCAUCAAGCGAACAUUUUUCUCAAUCCUCAAGAAAAUAAAAACAAAUCAAAUAGAAUAAAAGUUUAGACAGUUUUUUGCAAUAUUCCAUCUUCUUUGUAAUUGUAAAAAAGCAAAUAUUUACAAAAUUUCCAGCCAAGAUGUUAGAAGAAACCCCACCAAAUUUAGUAUACAUUAGGUAUUAUGGUAGUAGUUGCUUUUUAAAUUAUUUUUUGCUAGAAAAUAUAUUGAAAUAUAUUUUUAUUUUUUUAAAAUUUAUUUUUAACAUCAAUAUAUCAAAAUAAUCUAAAAACAUAAAAAAAUUAAUUAAUACAACUAAGCUCUUGAUUAUUUUUUUUGGUAAUAAAAUUAAUUAAUACAACAUAAACAAAAUUUAUUUUUUUUGUUUUCUGAUAAACAAAAAUGAAUUAUAAUAAGCUAUUGAUUUUUUUUAUUGGUAAUGAUAAUAAACUUCUUUCAGUAUUGACAAAUUAGUAAUACAACUAAGAAUCUUGAUGAAGUAAUAAAAACCACUCCCAUUAAUUUACACAAUGAACCAAACCAAACUUGUCCUAAAAGAAGUGGCCAAUGCUUUCUAUUUUCUUAAAUAAAUGACAAAAUUUCCAAAUUUGAAAUUUCAUGGCGAAUGUCACCAUUGAUAGGUGAAGCCCAAAGACAAGGUUUUUUGUUUUUUUUUUUCAAACAUACAAUUGAAUAUUUCUUGUUCUCUUAUCUAUUCGAAAGAAAAUCUUACACACAUAUACGCUCUCUUGUGGACUGAAAAGUUUUUUAAAUAUUGUAGCUACAUUUGUUUAUAUUAUCUUAUUAGUUUUAAGCCGAAAUAGUAAUAUCUUUAAUACUCAUUAAAAAUAAUCAACUUCAAACAUUAAUAAAUUAUUUUUAAAAAUUUUCUUAUAACAUGGCAAAAUAAUAAAAACAAAUAUUUUAUUUUCCAUGAAAAUAAUUUAUUUUUUAAUAAUUCUUUUUUUAUGAAAAUAUUUUAAAAACCAGCAACCGAGUCCUAAAUUAAAAACAUUUUAUUAGAAUAUUCAAAGCCAGAUACCAACAACACACAAUAUCACAGCCUCAAAUCUUAGAAAGAGUGGUUUAUAUUGAAGAAUAAAACUUAUGGAAAUAAAACAAACUGAUCAGCCACUGUUACCUAAUCUUCCAUUAUCAGCUAGCUGGAUUGAUUUGAUUGAUCGAAAUGAACCGACAAAAGAAGUGAAAAGGAAAUUUUAGGCAACAUAUCACGUAACCAUUGAAUAUUCAAUCUUCUUACUUUGACCUGUACAAACUAUAGUCUUCCCCUCGCAAGACGCAAUUAAGUUUUCUGCGUUUUGUUUGGGUUUUUAUUUUGAAAGAGCACACUUAGUGAAAAUAAUAGCAAAGGAGCGCGCAUGGAGAGAAAAAUGGGCAAACUUAAGGGCGUGUUUGAUAUUGUGAUAGCUUUUGGGGUUGUGGUUUGAAAAAAAUAGUUUAAUAAAAAGUAUUUUUUAUAAGGUUGAUUUUAAAAAAAAUUGGUGUUUGGUUAAAACUGUGGUUGAAGUUGUGGUUUUAAAAAAAGCAGUUUCUUGUAUUUGGUUAAAAAAUUAUGGUUGAAAUUGUUGUAGAAAAAAAACAGUUUUGUGUUUGGUAAAACUGUGGUUUAAAACGCACUUUUCAAAAAAAUUGAUUUUUUUUUUGCUUUGAAUGAGUAUGUUUUUUAUGUUUUCAAAUCAUUUUGAUGUGCUGAUAUCAAAAAUGAUUUUUAAAAAAUAAAAAAAAAUAUUAUUGACAUGCUUUUUUUAGUGAAAAAUACUUCGAAAAGCAACAGUAACCACACUCCCAAACACGUAACAUGGUUUGUGUUUUAUAUUUGAUUUGAAUUAAUUAAAAGGACAUAUAUAGACACAUAUAUAAUUCCAAAACAUAGGUGUUUUGUAAUUAUGAUUACAUAACAAAAUGAAAAAUCCUUAUACAUUAAUGUACUCUUUUAUUGUUCCAUCAAACUAUUUGCAAUUCCAUCGCGUACAAAAUCCAUACAUGAAGGCCUCUGUAAGCCUUGAACGGCCGAAGCCUAAACAACAUCAGGUAAAAAGAUCUGGAAUUAAAUUGGGGUUGCGAUCAUACUCAGAAAAAACUGCAUCAUCUGGCGAUCUCCUUCUAAUAUAAUUAUGUAGUGCCAUUGAUGCAACUACAAUCUCAACUUUUGUUUUGUAUGGAUAAGCAGGCAUGUUUUGCAAAAUUUUCCACCUCUGUUUCCAUACCCCAAAAGAACGUUCGAUCACGUUACGUAGUGACGAGUGUGCACGAUUAAACACUUCUUUCCGACCACUUGGUUGUCCACGACGCCUAAAUUCUUGGAAGUGAUACCUCUCGCCUUUGUAGGGACCUAAAUAUCCAUACUCGUUUGGAUAUCCAGCAUCAACCAAAUAGUAUUUUCCUAAAAAAAAUAUCAUUGUAAUUUUAAACAAAACUUUUUUUAAAAAAUUAUAUUCCUUUAAUUAUCAAAUCUUCAAUUUAGUCAAAAUCACAACCUUCCGGAGGUUUUGGAAAUUGGAUAUUGCUAUUGUCAAUAGCCUCAAGAAAAAUACACGUAUCGUGUUCAUUGUCUUCCCAUCCUGCCCACACAAACAUGAAUUGCAUGUCGAAACUACAUGCGGCCAUGACAUUUUGUGUUGGUACACCUUUUCUUCCAAUAAAUGGAAUUUGAUUUGCAGAUGGUAUGCAGGCACGAACAUGUGUUCCAUCAAUUACACUGACACAAUUCUACAAGCCACAAAAAUAUUUAGUACUCAUAAAUAUUUAUAACAUAUUUCAUACUUCUUUGAACAACUUAAUUAAACUACUUAAUUAUACAAAAAUUCAUCUUACCUUGAAAUGUGGCAUAAAUCUUGGAUUCAUAGCAAUUUCUCUUGGUGUGCUCGUAAAUUGUGGAUCUUCUGGUUUUUUGACUUCCACAACAAACAAACAUAAUGAUUUAAGCACUUCUUUAAAACAUCGACUAAUAGUUUCACCUGAAUGCUGAAAUCUUUCCUGCACUUGUCUAUUUGACGCCCCAACUGUUAUUGUAAAUAGAAACAUUGCUACCUUUUCAAUAACACUCAUUCUUCUUGACGGUUUUAAGCCAUGGUGCGUUUCUAAUUCAGUGCACAAACUCAACAAAGUGGUUGCGUCCAUCCUGAACAUGUUAACACUUCGUUUCCAAUGCCCUUUUAAAACCUCCGUCAACCAACGCAUCCCUAUGUUAUAUGAAACCAUACAUGGUUCUUUAAACAUAUAAUUAAUAUAAUACAUGUUUAUAGCUCUAGCUACGCAUAUAAUUAUUUUUUUCCUAUCAAGAUGCCUCCUUAUAAUAAAUGCAUCAUCACCAUCACUGUCAUCGUCAUCGUCAUCGUCAUUACUAUCGUCGGAGUCGUUUCCAUUACUAUCAUCUCCAACACCAUCAACUGAGGCACCACUACCUUCACAACUAGGAUAAUUAAUUUGGUCUACAAUGCGGUUCAUUAUAUUAUCAUAAUUACCAUCGAAAUCUUCAUUAAAUAUGUCAUUAAAUCGUGGAUUAGCCAUAACUUCAAUUACAUGUAAAAAAGAAAAAAAAUAUAUGUUGUUAAUAAAAAAAUUUAAAUAAUUAAAUAUCAUUCAAUAAAAAAACUAUCAAAGAGUUGGUUCAACAUAAGUUUUUUCCAUACCUGUAAAGCCAACAAAAAAGAAGUAUUCUACUUGCUUGUAUUUGGUGCAACUGAGAGGUUUGAGAAGCUUGUUAUGAAGAAAGCUAUUUCAUUGAAAAAUAUGAUGCAAACAUUCCUCUUUAUAUAGAAAAUUUCAAUGCUCUUUACGUCUAUUUUACAAAUUUUCAGCUUUCAACAUAAGUACAUUCACAUGUAUGCAUGUGCUGUAAAAGUAGCAUAUAAUGUUACCUUUACAGCUCAUAUAUGUACACCAUCCUGCCAUGGAAAAAAGUAAAAACAGAGUUCCAAGUUACUGAAGCAGUAGGAUGACCAGCAACAAAGAAAAGUAAGAAACAACAACAACAUUAGUCCCAUUACCUCACGACAACAAUGAAAAAAACACAAACAGUAACUACAAAAGGAGUUGCUUUUUCAGACCUCACAAGAUCAUAGUAGCUAGCAAAUGGAAAAAAGUAAAAACAGAGUUCCAAGUACUGAAGCAGUAGGAUGACCAACAACAAAGAAAAAGAAGAAACAACAACAACAUUAGUCCCAUCACCUCACGGCAACAAUGAAAAAAACACAAACAAUAACUGCAAAAAGGGGUUGCUUUUUCAGACCUCACAAGAUCACAGUAGCUAGCAAAUGGAAACAAUUACAGCCAAUGAAAAAAUCACCUGCAACAUGUCAAGCUCACAGUAGCUAACCAAUUGAAAAAAUUCCAGCAAAUGAAAGAAACACAGCAGCUUGUAUUAUCAAACCUCAUGGCAGCAAAGAAAAAAGGAUCAACAGUAAAGGUAAAUUAUAAACAACAAUUUGUCAUUUUUAUUUGCCUUGGUUCAUUUUUAUCCGACCUCUCCCUUCCCUUCUUUAGCAUUUGACAGUGACUCCUAAAAGGGUAAACAAUGCAGCAAAUGUCAUCUUCUUCCUCUCCUUUUGCCUUUCAAAUAUUCCCUCCUUUGGCACACAUAAAUGCCGCCUAUUGAUAAUUCAUUCUUACUCUCGACCCUCUCUCCAUCUCAUACAAAGCUUAUCUCCUGGUUUCUCCAUUCAUGUCUAAUGUUUCCAGAGUUAGAUGUAUUCCAAAUCCACACAGGACAUACAUGAGCAUCUAGCUAGCUACCUAAUGGAAACAAAUAAAGCCAAUGAUGGAAUGACCAGCAGCAUGUCAAUCUCACAGUAGCUAACCAAUUGAAAAAAUUACAGCUAAGGAAAGAAACACAGCAGCAUGUAUUAUUAUUCCCAGCAGACCUCACGGCAGCAAAUAAAAAUAUAAAGUUAACAAAACAGUUAAGGUAAUUUCGAACAACCAAUUCAUGUAAAUUAACAACCAAUUCCAUUAAAGGGUCAACCAUUUAACAUUAACCAUUGAACAUUGUAAUUCAUAGAUAAAAUACAACAUUACAACCACCAAUUUCUCAUACAAGUUUGUUAACUCCCGUAAAGUAGUUUAAUAAAUAUAACAGUACAUAAAUUACCGCAAACGCAUAUGCUCAUAUGCCUUAAAAUCAAAUGUGGAAUAAUACAAUGCCUCGAACAAACUUCGGCAAAUGGAAACUACUCUUUUAAAAACCAACAUCCCAUUACUCUGCAGCAAAAAAAUAAACAUGUAUAAAUAUCGUAAGCACUUGAACAUACUUAAUUGAUUAACAGUUAAGAUACUUAAAUCAUACCAUGUCAGCUAAGCACGUUUAGUUCGUGCAUAUAUUUGCUGCAACCAUCUCAACUUCUGUUGCUUAUCGCCCAUACUGGCCCACAUUUCUCUUUUCCUUCUUGAAAUGAGAAACUCCGUAGCAAAGUCGUGGAAGUCAUCUUCAAUUGAAACUCCAGGAAUUGAGUGCAGCUCAGCCAUCACCUCGGGGAUGCUACAACCUUUGCGAUCCAUAUUAAUAGACGUCGAAUCACUCUUAGUCGACAUACUCUCAAGAAGAUGAUUGCACCUUGUCAGCAGUUGAACACCAAUUCCAGAUGUUUUCUUCUUUCUACAUCGCACAUCGACAUGAUCUCGUUCUUUUCUUUUGCCGCUGCUUUUUGUAUUGCUGCUGCUAGACAUAUUUAUCUCUCCAACCAUUCGAGCCAUGUUAGUCUGGAAAUCUGGAAUCACAUCUUCCUUCGAAUCAUCGCUGCUUUCUUCCAAACCAUCAUCAGCAAUGUCGGCAUUGCUUGUACCAGAAUCAACACCACUGCCGGCAGGUACACCUGAUGAAGGAGCUCAUGCAAAAGCUCCAGUUGUGACAAUGUUGGAAUACAUUCGGUCAAAUUUAUUCUUCAAAGAUGACUUAAUACCGACAUGUCUGAAUUUUUUAGCUCCUCUAAUUUCCUGCAUAUAAAUUAAAUCAAGUAAUGAAGGAUCAAUACUAGUAAAAUUUUAGGGCUGGAAUUUGAUAAUAAUAAAAUAAAUUGUUAGGAUGACAAGGAAUGUACCUGAAUUUUUUGUUUCCACCACUCAUCGCUAGCUGCAAUUGUGCCUAUUUCACUAUUCCAGCCAACACCGGUUUCAAAAACCAGCUUAUUCCAUAUCCUCCAAUCCUUUUUGCAUCCAUCCCAUUUGUUUUUCAAUUGUGUUUUAUUGAAUGCAUGCCUAGUUUGUUCUUUGAAUGAUGUUAUAAGAAAUUUCCACCCUGUUUUAUCGAAAUGAGUAUUAGGUCUCAUUCCCAUAUCAAUUGUCUUAAUGCAUAUAUCACAAAAUAUAUGCAACAUGUCUUUUGUCCAAACAGCCUUAUCAAAAGAUUCAAGACCUUCCAUGAUAUCUUUUAACACAUUUUAAAAAAAAUUGAAAUCAAUAAAUGAUAUCAAAUAAAUAGUGGCACAUACAUAAACCAUGGACUAAAACAAUAAUAAAACAAUAAAUGUUUAGCACAUACAUGUAUUUGAAUGGGAAUGUUCACGUUCAUUUAUAAUGAAAUCUAAUUGCAACCCAUUAAUUUUGAACUGCUCAGAAAACUCAGUUUCAGCCAUGAUAAAAUAUUUGAAUUAUCAAGCAACACUUCAUUGCCAUCAUGCUGUUUGGAAGAAAAAAACAGAGGGAAAAAACAAAUAGAACAGAAUAUAUUUGCUAAAGUACAUAAACAAAGAACAACAGACAAGCAGUAUAUAGAAGCAAUUAAAUUUUGCUAAAUUCAAAACAAUUGAUGAAGUCACAGUAAACAGAAGACAAUCAAUAACAACUAUGAAAUUUGUCAAUUGCAGAACACACGGUAAUUGAUCAUGCAGGUACACAGACAUGCAAUUUUUCAUCUAAAAAAAUGAAAAUGAAGAUGGAGAUAAGGCAGGAACUUACCUUAGUCUAUAGGUGUCCAGACCAGCGCAGUUCUGCAACUUUGUCCUACAAACAGAUACACAAUGGAGGCCCAGAAGAUAAAUUAGAUUUUGAGCGACGAUUACUACAAAAUUGACAUGGUAUAUCAACACAGUACACAAAAGCAUCACAGAAAUGAAGGUUUUCAAUUCCAGAAUAGUUUUUGGAAGUAGUUUCGAAGAGACAUAACGUAUUUUUUAGUUUAUUUCAUGAAUGGAGAAUAAAGGACUAUGCAGCAGUUUUUCCUAGCAAUGGGAUAAGUAUGCAUGUCUGUUUGUAACUUGCAUGGACUGUGAGCAGUAAAUCUAAAUUUGUAAUCGAAACAUUUGUGCUGCAUGGCAAAAAUCAAAAUAUUUCUGUUCAAAAUAGCUUUAAAAAGUUACUAUAAAUCUAAAGGAAUCAAGCAAACACAUAUAGAAUUACUUUUUUUCCCGGUUAAUCAGACCACUGAUGGGAUUACAACAAUUUAUAAAAAAAAGCUUGUAAAGAACUCUACAGUUUCAGAUUCAACAAUAAUCAGCACUAAUGCAUUAGCCAAGGAUAACUGUUAUUUUUUAUGUUUCUCAUCAUGCACAAAACAGUAGAGUCUAGAGCCAUUUUUUAGCCUUCGAAAAAGAAGAUAGAAAAACAAAAUCUUGAAAAAAAAAAAACUAAAACCAUUCAAGCCUCAGACCAUCCUAGUUCAUGCAUUUCAACAGCUAGGCAGAUCCAUAGACCUGCUUUCAAUGGAAAAUAGUAUUGUCAUCAUAGGCUACCAGCACAAUAAUAAAAAAAAACCCAUGAAAGCUGAGACUUGAAGACAUAAAAGCAGAAAGAUAGAGAGCAUCAAAUCUUCCUAUUCAAGAAGCUAAAUCAUAAGAACCGAAACCCAAAUAAGAGGCAGAGCAUUCAACAAUUCAAAAGAUUCGUCAUUUGCCUCUCUAGAUUGAAAAAAAAAAAACCAUGAAAAUAGUAUUGUCAUCAUUGGCUGCUAGUAAUUAAAAAAAACCCAUUGAAGCCGAGACUUGAAGACAAAAGCAGAAAGAUAGAGAGCAUCAGAUCUUCCUAUUCAAGAAUCUAAUCAUAAGAACCCAAACCCAAACAAGAGUCUGAGCAUUCAACAAUUCAAAAGAUUCGUCAUUUGCCUCUCCAGAUUGAAAAAUAAAUAAAUUCAAGGAAUUGUUUAAAGCAAUGCAAUAAUUAGAAGAGGGGAAGAUAUAGGGAGUUUUUGGAGAAGGUGAACGGCGGUUUAGGGCUGAGUUUUUCAGAAAGCCAUUAGUGUGUCGUUUAUAAAGAUUUACAAAUCAAAAAUUUGUAAUCAAGCAUGCAACAGCACAAACAUGAAAUACUUCAUCUAAAAAACCAAAAAUGAAGAUGGAGAUGAGGGAGGAACUUACCUCAGUCUCUGUCUUUUGCAAACCAAAACGGUGUAGCAGCUGUGUUCUACAAAAUAAAAAACAAUAGAAACCCAUUAGAUUUUGAGACACACGUUAAACAAAAUUGACAAGGGGAAUGCACAUUACCUGGUAUCUCUUGGUUUUUUUCUGCAAUUGUAACAAUGGAGGGACAGUCGAGUGACGGUUUGUGUUUGAAUGGACAGAGGGGAAGAAGUGCUCUGGCGUUGGUGUUAGGGAAAAAUAAAAACGGGGUUAUCAAGAGAAGAGAGAGGAGAAUAGUUUGGGGAAGAAAAUUUGGGUUUUUUAGCUCGUCAAAUUGAUCUGCAACCGUAAUUUUGGAGGUUGUUUACUGGGGAAAGUUUGGUGGUGAGAGAGAGGUAAGGAACUAAAGGUUGAAAAACAUUGAUCUGUGAAAUUUUGGGUUUGUUGUAACCGUUGGAAAAUGGUUUGCAAGUUGGGAAGUAAUUGCAAAUUGAUGAAAAAAGCAAUUGUAAAUUGUCGGUGAUGAGAGAGAGUAGAAACGCAUGAAAAGCAAAUUCAUUCUGCUUUUCACGUUUUACAAUUGAACCGUGAUUUUUAAUGGGACCCACAUCAAAAUAAAUUGUGUUUUGAAGUUAACCAAACACAUGUGUUACUGCUUUUGUAUAAACUGCAACCGCAUCAGCUUAGCCAAACACCCACUAAGAUGUUGUGCUUUUGAUGUUGCGUUGUUCUAAUCGACGUAACCUCGUCAUCUUGUAGCUAGGGCCACUUUUAUGAUAUGGACAGAAAAAGCCCGCACAACAUGGAUAAUUUGGGCCACCUUCACCUGUUACAUCAACAUGUCAUUCUUAAAUUAAAAUUUAAAAUUAUAAUAAUAAUAAUUUUUUAUAUAUUGACUUGAGUUGAUCUUCCUUACAUGUGAUUUAGGCCUUCCUCUCGUUGAUCUCUUAGUUGAAUUUUAAACCUAUGAUAAUAAUUAUUUUAAUUUAUAUAUUAAGUUUGGUCAUCUUAUGUCAACCCUCUCGAUCAGUGACUUGAGUUGUGCCUCGGUCAACUCUUUAGUCGAAUUUUAAAAUUAUAAUAAUAAUUUUUAUGAUAUGAUUUUACAAGUUAAUAUAUAUUUAUCAUGCAAAAUCACGUAAAAAAUACAAAAAAUGAUAAAUAGGACUGAAAUCGUGUAAAAUCAAUAACAUAAAAAAAAGUCACGAUUUUACGAUCUUACAAAUAAUUCCAAAUUCUUAUCUUUCUCAUUGCAUAUCUUUGUGUGUUACUCGCUAAUGCACCAGCCCCACAAGCACUUGUAUCAAUGGAUUCUUUCUUUAAUUAAUAGUACAAGGAUGAAGAAAAUAUAAUCUUGCUUAAACCUUUUUUAAUAAAUAAAAAAUUGUCUAUUAUGAGACAAGAUUUUGAAUAUUCUUAUUCUAUAGGGAUAUUUUUAUAGAUAAGAGUAACAAACCAUACUCGAAAGUCUGAUCUAUUAUAUGCUUAUGCUGAAAUACCAUAAUUGUUUUAACAAGUUUACAUCAUUAUGACUUCUCUAUAGAAAAUCUCAUAAUUUGUGUAAUAUAUGAUCUAAUAAGCAACCAAACUUCAAGAUUUUAAAAAAGAAAUAUCUAACUUUGAAUUGUUUGAUUCUUUCAUUUUAGUUCAUACAAAGCAUAAAACUCCUUAUUGAUCUACUCGUUGAAAUUUAUGGUAUGUAACAAAUAAUAUCUGAAACUUAUGAAAAUUUAUUAAUAUCUAAAAGAAAGCAUAAUGCGUUUUUGUCUCUACUGUCUUCAUCUUUUUUGUUACAUAACAGUAACAAAACACUAUCUUUUUACUGUUAAAUUACGUUUUAUUAGGAUAAGAAAAUUUAUGUUUGUUAUUUAACAAGUAUAUUUAUGUUUGUUAUUUGAUAAAUAUAAUUAUAUUUCUUAAUUUGAAUUAUUAUGUAGGGGUAUGACAUUAAAAUUUAAAAUUUAUGCAUGAGUAUGUUUGAUGUAAAGUGUUUAUAUUUAUUUUCUAAUGCUUAAAGGAUAUAAAAGGAUAAUUGCCUAAACCCCACUGUAAAAACAAUUGUCAUACAAAAAAUCCCAAACAUCUAACUCUUAAUCCAUUAACUAAUUUGUCAUUUUCAAUAUAUAUAAAAAAUUAUUUUAAGGUUUUAAAAAUAUCAAUAAAUUUUACUUAAUAAGCUUAUAUGUCAAUAAUAUUAUAUUUAAAAUAUUGAUAAUAUAUGUAUAGUUGCAUUUUAUAAAACUAAUGUUCUAUAUAUAUUAGGUAAACUUGAAAAAAAUAUAUUAAUAUUUUUUAUGAUAUAGAAAAAACAAUAAAAAGUGGUUUUUUAAUUUAUUUUUCUAAAAUGUAGGUUUCAAUAAAAUCACUUUUAAAACCGGCUAAUGAGGCCUAAAUCAAUUUUUUUUAUUAGGAUAUACAGAAUCAAAUGCCAACACACAACACCAGGGUCUCACAUCAUAGAUUUUUAGAAUGAGUGGUUUAUAUUAAAGAAUAAAAUUUCAGGAAACAAAACAAAUUAUAGAUUGGUCUAAAUUAAUUAGAAAUUUCCAGCUUGUCUCCUCAGUUGCUUGCAUUUGAAGUCAUGAAUACUCUGAUUUUUCAAGAUUACUUCUCAAUAUCUUACUUACCUUAAUUGAUCUUCUAGCGAAAGGAUACUUCAUUUCUAACGAAGAUGCUGACUGGUUGGGUGGCUUCCUCUGCCUCCAGCCCUCCACCUUUAAUUGAUAUAUCUUCAUCGAUAGGUGGCACGCGUUUCUCCACAAGGUGAACUGAUUUUUUUGUAACAUAUAAAAAAAUGAUGUUAAAACACUGUCAAUAUAUUUUUAAUAAAGAAAAUUCAUGAGUUAACAUUAUAAAAAGAAAAUAAAAAAUUUGAUUGAUUUGGUUAAUUCAUUAACUAUUUUCUUAUAUUUUUAUUUUUUUAAAUGAUUACGUUUUAACCUUCAUUAUAAAAUAAAAAGAUUUGAUUGACUUGGAUUAACUCAAGUUAACCCACUUGACUUGUGACUCGGUACUUGCCUCAAAUCGACUCUCGAGCCGAGUCUAAAAGCUUUGAGAAACAUCAUUAAGACCAGUUCCCUAAUUAAUUAAUAAAAUGUUGACUGAUGAAAUAAAUAAAAAUUUAAUUAUAUAAAAUGAUAAAAAAAUAACAAUUAAAAAAAAAAAAAAACCUAAUUUGAAAAAAAAAAACAACAUGACAACCUAAAUUUUUUAAUUAAGGGGUAAAAUUAAAAAUAAAAAUCAAAUUAAUAAAAGAAUCCAAAAAAAAAAAUCAAGAGAUUGAGUACCAAAUUUGAAAAAAAAAUCAAGAUUAGGACACAAAGAUAAAAUUAAAAACAAACUAAGAUUUGAUAAAAAAAAUCAAAAUUAAUAUCGUCAAAUUUUUCAAAAUCAAAAUCCAUCUCCACCGAAUCUUACUCGUGCAUUUAUAAUGAAACAAAAUCUAUCAUUUCUUUCCCAUAUAUAUACGUAUGCGGGGCAAAUCAUUUUAUACAUCCUUUUUAAGAAAUUAAACAACCAAGGCCAUGGCUUCCCACAUCUUUCUCUUUUCCACAACUUUUUUGGUUUUUUCCUUACUUGCUUAUGCUCCCUUCUUUGCUUCUUUUGCUUACUCGGCUAGUACUGGAGCUGCUGAAUUAGCAAAUGGAAGGAAGGAAGCGGAAGCUCUUUUAGAAUGGAAAGUCACUCUUGACAACCAAAGCCAGUCUCUCCUGUCUUCUUGGGCUGGAGACAGCCCUUGCAACUGGUUCGGAAUCAGCUGCAACAAGCCUGGUAGUGUCAUCAACAUAAGUCUGCCCAAUUCUAGUUUGAGAGGUACGCUUAAUAGCCUCCGAUUCUCUUCCUUUCCUAACUUGAUUGAGCUUAUCCUUCACAACAACUCCCUCUAUGGGUCAAUUCCUUCACAUGUAGGCACCCUUUCUAACCUCGCCAUCCUUAACUUGUCUUCCAAUAACCUUUCUGGCAACAUUCCACCAGAAAUUGAAAAUUUAGUAUCUCUCACUAUUUUAGAUUUGUCCUCUAAUAAACUAAAUGGUACAAUACCGGUAUUUUUAGAAAAUUUAAGAAGCUUAUCUAUUCUUUAUCUUUGGAAUAAUAGUCUUUCUGGUCCCAUUACUUUUAUUAGAAACCUGACGAGAUCUCUCACCAUUUUAGCUCUGUCAUAUAAUAAACUAACCGGUACAAUACCGAUAUCUUUAAAAAAUUUAAGAAACUUAUCUCAACUCUACCUUGGGGUUAAAAAUAUUUUUGGUCCCAUUCCAUUGGAAAUUGGAAAUUUAGAAUUUCUCACUAUUUUAGAUUUGUCGUAUAAUAAACUAACCGGUACAAUACCAGUAACUUUAGGAAAUUUAGAAUCUCUCACUAUUUUAGAUUUGUCGUAUAAUAAACUAACCGGUACAAUACUAGUAACUUUAGGAAAUUUAAGAAGCUUAUCUGAACUUAAUCUUUGCAAUAAUAGUCUUUUUGGUCCCAUUACUUUUAUCAGAAACCUGACGAGAUCUCUCACCAUUUUAUUUCUGUCAUAUAAUAAACUAAGUGGUACAAUACCGACAUCUUUAGAAAAUUUAAGAAACUUAUCUCAACUUUGCCUUGGGGUUAACAAUCUUUUUGGUCCCAUUCCACCAGAAAUUGGAAAGUUAGAAUCUCUUACUAUUUUAUCUUUGUCGUAUAAUAAACUAACCGGUAUAAUACCAGCAUCUUUAGGAAAUUUAAGAAGCUUAUCUGAACUUCACCUUAACAAUAACUGUUUUUUUGGUCCCAUUACUGUUAUUGAAAAUAUGACGAGAUCUCUCACUAUUUUAGAUUUAUCAUAUAAUAAAUUAAUUGGUACAAUACCGACAUCUUUAGAAAAUUUAAGAAGCUUAUCUAUACUUCACCUUGCGAAAAACAGUCUUUUUGGUCCCUUUCCUCCAGAAAUGAACAACCUUACACAUUUGUCUAUGUUACAAAUAUAUUCUAAUAGAUUUUAUGGAAAUCUACCACGAGAUGUGUGCCUUGGUGGAUUGCUUAGAUUUUUUUCUGCACAUCAAAAUUAUUUCACGGGACCUAUCCCAAAAAGCUUGAGAAACUGCAGCAGCUUGUUGAGACUCAGACUUGAGGGAAACCAACUUAGUGGAAACAUAUCUGAAGCUUUUGGCACACAUCCUCAUUUGUCCUACAUGGAUUUGAGUGAUAAUGAAUUGCAUGGUGAACUUUCAUGGAAAUGGGAGCAGUUUAACAAUUUGACAACCUUCAGAAUUUCUGGAAACAAAAUAUCUGGAGAAAUACCAGCUGCACUUGGAAAGGCAACUCAUCUACAAGCUCUUGACCUCUCGUCAAAUCAACUAGUUGGAGAAUUCCAAAAGAAUUGGGAAAUUUAAAGUUGAUUCAACUUGCACUCAACGAUAACAAACUUUCAGGUGAUAUUCCUUUCGAUGUCGCAGCGCUAUCUGAUCUGGAAAGGCUUGGCCUGGCCGCGAACAAUUUUAGGCAACAAUUCUUAAACAGCUUGGCAACUGUCAAAACUGAUAUUCUUGAAUAUCAGCAAGAAUAGAAUGACAGGGAAUAUUCCUGCUGAGAUGGGGUCUUUACAGUCUCUUGAAAGUCUUGAUCUCAGUUGGAAUUCCCUCAUGGGAGAUAUAGCGCCAGAGCUUGGACAGCUGCAGCGGCUAGAGGUAUUAAACCUCUCCCAUAAUAUGCUGUCUGGUCUCAUUCCAACCAGUUUUAGUAGACUGCAAGCCCUCACUAAAGUGGAUGUAUCCUAUAACAAGCUAGAGGGUCCCAUUCCUGACAUCAAAGCCUUUCGCGAGGCACCAUUUGAAGCAAUUCGCAACAACACCAACCUGUGUGGCAAUGCUACUGGUUUGGAGGCUUGUGCUGCUCUCAUGAAAAACAAAACUGUGCACAAGAAGGGCCCCGAAGUUGUCUUUAUGACUGUAUUUUCUCUGCUGGGUAGUUUGUUGGGCCUGAUUGUAGGUUUCUUAUCUUUUUCCAAAGCAGAAGAAAGAAAAGGUUAGUGGAAACACCACAAGAGAUGUUCCGCGAGAUGGUGCCCUGGUGGGGAUCUGCGCUACGAGGACAUCAUUGAGGCUACUGAGGAAUUCGACUCCAAAUAUUGCAUUGGUACUGGAGGGUAUGGAGUUUUACAAAGCUGUACUUCCAUCAGAACAAGUCCUUGCCGUGAAGAAAUUCACCAAACACCAGAAGUUGAGAUGAGCAGCUUGAAAGCUUUUAGAAGCGAGAUUGAUGUCUUAAUGGGUAUACGGCAUCGAAACAUUGUGAAGCUGUAUGGUUUCUGCUCGCAUGCCAAACACUCAUUUUUGGUAUAUGAAUUUGUGGAAAGGGGAAGUUUAAGAAAGGUACUGAACGACGAGGAACAAGCAGGAAAGAUGGAUUGGGAUAAAAGGAUGAAUCUUAUCAAAGGCGUAGCCAAUGCUUUAUCCUACAUGCACCAUGACUGCUCCCCUCCGAUUAUUCAUAGAGACAUUUCCAGCAACAAUGUUCUUUUGGAUUCAGAAUAUGAGGCUCAUGUCUCUGACUUCGGCACAGCCAGGCUCCUCAUGCCUGACUCGUCCAAUUGGACGUCAUUUGCUGGCACCUUUGGGUACACAGCUCCAGGUAUGUAGUUAAGUUUCAAUAUCACCUUCUACAGUAGGUUAGCUUACAAAAUCACUUGAAAACAAAUAUAUAGCAUGACCAGCCUCUUUAAUUUGCAGAGUUGGCAUACACAAUGAAAGUGGAUGAAAAAUGUGAUGUGUAUAGCUUUGGAGUAUUAACAUUGGAAGUAAUGAUGGGAAAGCAUCCUGGCGAUUUCAUCUCAUCUCUGAUGUUUUCUGCCUCCACCUCCUCAUCAUCACCAAUUGGUCACAAUACAGUCUUGAAGGAUGUCUUAGACCAGCGCCUCCCACCUCCUGAAAACGAGCUUGCGGACGGUGUGGCACAUGUUGCAAAACUGGCGUUUGCUUGCUUGCAGACCGAUCCCCACUAUCGGCCAACAAUGCGACAAGUUUCUACAGAGCUUACAACUCGAUGGCCACCAUUGCCAAAGCUAUUCUCCACGAUGGAAUUGGAAGAUAUAAUGGUUCACAGAAAUGUUAUUGGCUGAAUUUUUACAGUAUACUUUCCUGUCAAGGAGCCAGUAGCUCAGCUGGUAAUAGAGUCCCCGUCCUCUCAAGAGGUGUUAUUGUCAGUCCAAAGUCUUACAUUUCGUCUAUUUCUUCGCCUACUGCUUGUGUAUAUUAAAUGCAAGAAACAGAGUUUUCUCAUUUCGAACUUAAAUUCGCCAGAUGAAAUAUUUCACAUAUUUUUAGUUUUCGUGAGCAACAAUGGAAGAAAUCAACAUAUUUUCUCCUCUUUUUUUUUUUGUUUUCCAAUAAACGAAAAUGAAUUAUAAUAAGCUAUUGGUUAUAUUUAUUUUUAAUUGGUAAUGAUAAUAAGCUUCUUUCAAUAUAGCCAUAUUAGUAAUAUAAUUAAAAAUCUUGACGAUUUAAUAAAAACCACUCCCAUUAAUUUCCACAAUCAAACAAAACUUGUUCUAAAAGAAGUGGCCAAUGCUUUCUAUUUUUUUAAAUAAUUGACAAAUUUUCCAAAUUUGAGAUUUCAUGUGAAGCCCAAAGACAAGGAUUUUUUAUUUUUUAUUUUCUCAAAGGAAACUUCCCUUCAAGAAUGGCAAACUUCGUACAGUUGUCGUGUCAUUACUAUUCAAAAGGAAAUUCUGGACUGAAAAAGACAACCAGAACCAUAGCAUCAUUACCUAAGAAACUUGUCCCUGCUAAUCAGAUUCUUCUCGCAAGCAGGUGGCAAAACUAAAUUUAAUUAUCUACUAUUCAUAAAUAAUAAAUAAUUUAAUUAUAUUUAUCAUAUAUUUUAAAAUAUUGUAAUAUCUAUUAUAACUAUAUUUAUUUAUAUCAUCUUUAUUAUUUUUAAACAGAAAUAGUGAUAUCUUUUACACAUUAAAAAUACCUAACUCAAAUUCUAUAAAUUUUAAUAGCUUUUCAACUUUAUAACCGGAGCUUAAGAUUUUUUAUUGAUUAAAAUUUAAAAUUGUUUAUUAUAAAAAUAAAAUAAAAAAAAAAGUAAUAAAAAAUAAAUACUGUAUUUAUUAUCCAGAAUUUGAGACCAUUGACUGUGACAUUAGUAAGUUAGUAACCUUUGUUCUUGCAUUGGUGAUGGGCUUGAGGGUGAAUGUGACAUUAAUAAUUGAUUAAAUUGGAAAAAAAAAGAGGACUGUUUUGUAAAUGGUGCCGAAAUUCAAGGGUUCAAUUGCAAUUUGAUCCAGGUGUAAAAUGAAAAAAAGGGGGAUUUUCCAUGAUUAGGGGCCUAAUUGCUAAAUUUCAGAAUAUCAGGGGUCAAAUUGAAAAUAACCAUUUUGGACUAAACGACGCCGUUUCGUGUCCAAUAUUCAUCACCUUCUUCGUGGAUUAAUUCAGCAGAAAGGAAACUGCCUCAAACCGGUUGCAAUCAUGUACCACGUCUCCUACACGAUGCAUCUCCAAAUAUGCCUCACCCCCAUGAUCAUUGUCUGGGCAGAAAGAGAGGACAUUCAGAGAAAAGACCACAAAAAAGGGGGCGCCGAGCUUUCUGGACGGGGGAGAGACGGUAGAAAAAAACGAAAAAACCAGAGGAGGAGAGAACGAACAGGGGGGGGGUUUCGGAAGCUGAGAAAAAUCACAGAAAACACAGAGAGAACACAAACAGAGGAGGAAAAAAACCAGAGAACAGGGAUGUAAACAGAGGACAGACGAAAACAAAAGAAAGGGAAUAAAGGCCAGAGAGAAAGACCAGAACAGGUGUGACGAUUCAACAGGAUUAAGAACAACUGAAUUUUAUUCCAAGUGAAUACUGUCACUUUUACAAAAGCUUUAAGUGCCAAAAAGAGUAAUACAAGGUAUAUUUGAUGAUCAAAUUAGUUUCAAUGACUGAAAAUAAAUUGAAAUUAAACUUGACUAGGAUGAGAGCAAAUUCACCCGAAUUUCUCUCUUUUCACACACACAAAGUGUAUUGUUCUUCUUCUCUAGUUUUUCAUUCGGUUACAGUGCAUUAUAUGCAUGCAAGGUGCUCGUCCGUAAUUGCAAUAAAAGACUUUACAAGUUUCUUACACGUGUCUAUUGACACGUUACUAAUUGAAAAAUGAAACGGCGCGUUUGUGAAUUGAACUCUUUUCUCGCUAUGGCUCUGUUCAAAUCUAUUCCCCUGUUUCUUCAAGAUUCAUCGUUAGAAGAGUUACUGUUGGCAGCAUGUAACAACAGGAGGACACAACUCGAGGGGACGAACAGCACAGGGGAGACCUGGAAACGCAAACAGAGGCGAUCGAACAGAAACAAACCAGGAAAUAAAGAACAAAGAAAGCAAAAGAAAAGCAAGAAGAGGGGAGGGUAACAGAAGCAGAAGGGAGGGUAACAUCAGCUAGAAAGAACAAGCCUCCAUCAGUGGAGGGUAAUAGAAACUGUGAACAAGGAAUUUGAAAAUUGGACUGCAAAUCAGUAGCGGUCCGGAGACUCUAUUUCGGGUAUGGUUUUUUCUCAUAUCGUUUUAAACAAGAAAAUCUACUUUUGGAAUUGUUUUUGUUUGGGUAUGCUAGCUAAACGUCAAGCUAUUAAAAAGAUGCUUAUUCACCAUGAGAUUGAUGUUUGUUUUCUACUUGAGACUAAGCGGGCAGCCUGCACAGAUAAAUUUUGUCAACUUUCUGUGGAAUGAACAGAAUAUUAGAUGGACUUCUAUAGAUGCUUUUGGGAAAUCCGGUGGUGUUUUCGUCUUAUGGAAUGAUAAGACAUAGAAUAUGGGGGACAGUGGAUUGCUAUCUUUGGUGUUCAUUCUUCUUCAGAUUUUGCUUGUGCCGUAGUGGGAGUCUAUGCAGCUAGUUCAGUUUUUGAACGACGAACUUCCUAGAAUGAGCUUACCAUGCUAAAAUCAGCCUUUGAAGUGCCCAUGUUCUUAGUAGGGGACUUUAAUGAGACCUUACACCCAAGUGAAAGGAGUAGUGGGUUCUUAAAUGUUACUGGUUCAAAGGCCUUCGAGUCUUUUCUCUCUAAUUGCGACUUCAUUGAGUAUCCUCUUGCUGGGCAUCGUUAUACAUGGUUUUGGGGCAGAUCAAUGAGCAGAAUAGACAGAAGUCUUGCAUCUCCAUCUUGUCUCUUGCAAUUUCCUUUACUGUCUUUGACUAUAUACCCCUAGAGGACUGUCCGGUCCCUGUCAUUUAGUUCUUGGCCAGAUUCGUGAGAAUUGGGGGUGGAGGCCAUUUUGUUUUAUGAAUUGUUGGACUGUCUUGCCACGAUUCAUGAAAGAUCUGGAGACUUUCUGGAGAGAAUGCGAGCUAAAACAUCCUGGAAAUUUCGCACUGGUUAAGAAAUUGAGUUUGUUGGCACAUAAAUUUCGAACCUGGAACCAUGAUGUCUUUGGUAAUCAGGAUAGCAGGCUUCGGGAAUUGCAGGAUAAAAUACAUAAGUUGGAAGAAGAAAUGGAGGUCCGUGACCUAUCAGAAACUGAGAGGAUCGAAUUAUAUGCCUUAACAAACAAACAACAAUGGGAUGUUAGCAAACAUGUUGAAGCUAUUUGGAGGCAAAAAUAAAGACAGAACUGGUGUAAAUUAGGGGACAGGAAUACAAAGUUCUUCCAUCUAGCUGCAAAAGUGAGGACAUCUCGAGAUUAUAUUACGAAGAUAACUCACGAUGGGAUCACCCAUAACACACCGCAAGGAAUUAAAAAUGCUGUUGUUUCAUUCUUUUCUAUGUUAUUCUCUAAACCCAAGACAGCAAGGGUUUCAAUGGGAGCCAUGGGUUAAAGACACUAUCUAUAGAGCAAUCCAUUUGGCCUGAGAAGGAUGCAACUACAGAGGAGGCAAAGCAAGCUGUUUGGGACUAUGAUGGGUCAAAGGUUUCAAGACCAGAUGGAUUUACUUUUACUUUCUCAUGUAACUAUCUAGAAAAAUAAAUUUUCACAGUAUAGACCAAUUAGUCUGUGCAUGUUUUAUACAAAAUUAUAUACACAUGCAGGGCAAAUCAUUUUUUAUAUAUCCUCCAUAAGAAAUUAAACCACCAAGGCCAUGGCUUCCCAAAUCUUGCUCUCAUCCAUACCUUUUGCUUACCCACGUUAAUUCAAAAAAAAAAAAAAAGAGUUUUCCCAUUUCGAACUUAAAUUCGCCAGAUGAAAUAUUUCACAACGGAAGAAAUCAACAUAUUUUCUCCUUUUUUCUGUUUUCCAAUAAACGAAAAUGAAUUAUAAUAAGCUCUUGAUUUUAUUUAUUUUUAAUUGGUAAUGAUAAUAAGCUUCUUUCAACAUUGCCAUAUUAGUACAACAACUAAAACUCUUGCUCUCAUCCAUACCUUUGUUGUUUAUUUCUUUACUUGCUUAUGCUUCCUUCCUUCCUUCUUUUGCUUACUCAGCUACUGGAGCUGAAGUAGCAAAUGGAAGGAAACAAGCAGAAGAUCUUCUAAGAUAUUAAAACGGGAAAAUCUAUUAAAUAAUAAAUUCUUGUUUCUUAUUCGAAACAAGAAUGCCUUGUUUUUUUUUUUUUUGGAAAAAAUAUUUUUUUCAAAAACAUGAAGAAAAAUAAACACGCGAUUCACAUCCAAGUCAAGGACCGACAGUAUGCAAAUAGUCUUCAUCUCUUAAUAAUCAGGAGUCAUGGAAUGGUGGGGUACAAGCUAGCUAUUAUUAAUUGUAAAGUUCGGAUUUGCACAUCGUAGAUAAAACCUAAAAUAAUUCGGGUAAUUAAGGGAGAGAGAUAGAGUUAGAUUUGUUGUUUAACACAAGCAAUGAAAAACUAGGAGAAAAAACAAGAAAAAUAUAUAAAAAUGCUUGAAGGAUGAUCACCCAAUGCAGGGUUUAGUAUUUUUUUUUUAAUCAUGGAAUAUAAUCAUCUUAUUAUAAAAGCACAUAAUGGUGCAAAAUAAUAUAUCUCUUUUUAUGCAACUUCGUCCAAUAAUCAUUUAAUUUGACCUUCGAAUUUGCAUUUUUUCUAUUCUUGAGCAUAAUGGGGUACAAUUAGGCCUUGAAAUUCCUCCAAAAAUUAUAGCUUGAUUUUUGUCUAUUUUUGCAGUUUUUUUUUAUCACCUUUCUCCACAUUGCUAGCUUUUAUUUUAUUUUUUGAUUUUUAUUUUAAAAAAAAAAGUGAAUUUUGAGGAAUAAUCCAAAAUUGGGUUAUGACAGCUUCCAUUGUCAAAGCCAUUUUCCAUGGCAGAAUUGAAAGAUGUGAUGAUUCACUCCCUUCAGUAAUAUUUGAAGACUGUUUAUAUAGCAGAUAUACUAAUAUUUGAAGACUGUUUAUAUAGCAGAUAUACUAACAGAAAAACCUCAAGUAAAAUCUUCAACAAGUCACUUGACAAGUUGAGUGUUGAAAAUCAAUGAAAAUGAAUAUACACACAAAGGAAAAUCGAUGAAAAGUAUUGCAUCGUUACUCACUGAUCCUUACGCAAAGCUGAAUAUGAAACUUAUUAAUUUUGCAGAAUAAUUAUCAUAUGAUGUUCAGCAGCAUGUCUAAGAAAAUUGCCCUAAUGUAAAAAAAAUAAAAAGAAGAAGAAAGAAAUAAUAAUAAAAUAAAAAGAAGAAGAAAGAAAUAAUAAUAAAAUACAUUGAUUCCUCUAUUUUUUUGGACAAAUUGAACCCAAUACACCUAAUAAAAUUCUAUCGUUGGGUCAACAAGUCAACUGAUUGACCAAGCUUAAGUCUAAAGAUAGCUGAAUCCUUUGAUAUUUUAAUAGGAAAGUCACGGUGAGAGAAGAAAAAGAGAAAAGAGAGACAACAAUGUUCCGACAACCUUUUCUUUAAAUACCUAGAUUAAUUAGGUUGGAUUUGUGCUAAAUUUUUGCCUUGGAUCUGAUGGGACAAAACAUGGGUCUCACAAUUAUGGUAAUUACAUGUGAAUGCGAAUGAAGCUGAAAAUGUGAAACACGAGAAAGCUGUAGAUUCCAGAAUUCGUGAAAAACAUACAUUGGUUGACUUAACGUUAUGAGCUUUUGAGAUUUCACAUGAAUGGAAGACCAUAGUUAGGGAACUUAAUUGAAAAAAAGUAAAGCUUCUUUUUGACCAUCCAAUAUUUUUUGAGACAUGAAAACUAGAAAAGCCUAAUAAUAAUAAAUAAAAUAAAUGAAUAUUUCUUUACUUGCUUAUGCUCUCAUCCAUACCUUUGUUGUUUAUUUCUUUACUUGCUUAAGCUUCCUUCUUUACUUCUUUUGCCUACUCAGCUACUGGAGCUGAAGUAGCAAAUGGAAGGAAACAGGCAAAAGCUCUUCUAAGAUAUUAAAACGGAAAAAUCUAUUAAAUAAUAAAUUCUUGUUUCUUAUUCGAAACAAGAAUGCCUUUUUUUUUUUUCAAAAACAUGAAGAAAAAUAAACAUGCUAUUCACAUCCAAGUCAAGGACCGACAGUAUACAAAUAAUCUUCAUAUCUUAAUAAUCAGGAGUCAUGGAAUUGGGGGGUACAAGCUAGCUAUUAUUAAUUGUAAAGUUCGGAUUUCACAUCAUAGAUAAAACCUAAAAUAAUUCGAGUAAUUAAGGGAGAGAGAUAGAGUUAGAUUUGUUGUUUAACAAAAGCAAUGAAAAACUAGGAGAAAAAACAAGAAAAAAAUAUAAAAAUGCUUGAAGGAUGAUCACCCAAUGCAGGGUUUAGUAUUUUUUUAAUCAUGGAAUAUAAUAAUCUUAUUAUAUAAGCACAUAAUGGUGAAAAAUAAUAUAUCUCUUGUAUUUCAUAAAAAAAAAAUCAACCGAGAAUUAAUGGAUCCAUAGCUAGCUGAAACCCCAACAUAAAUAUUCUAAUAAUUAAUUAUGACAAAUACACGUGCUCCUCCUAUCACGCAAUUAUUGAAUGGAAGACCAUAAUAUUCUACACCUCUUCAGACGCAAUUGUUUUUAUUAAAAGAUUAUUACUAUAAAAAACAUAGAAAAGUAACCUGCAUUGUUUCUAUAAAAAAAUAAAUAACAAAAGCAUAACAGACCAAAGAAUGUUGUUCCACACUUGAAAGCUUAAGUUUCGAUUCAUUUGAUUGAUAUAACAAAAGCAUUAACCACGUGAAUGUUGGUACACUCGAAAUUUCAUGGGAAACAUCACCGUAGGUCCAUAGCUGAAGCCCGAAGACAUCCAAUCAAGAAUGGAAGACGUACUUAAUUUCAAGACCUGUAAAAUUAGUCGAGAUACGCGCAAGUUAGCUGGAUACCACAUUAAUUUAAAAAAAAAAAAAAAAUGGAAGACGUCCAGCUGUCUAUCUUCUUAAGAAAUCUUCGAUCAUGACCGAGACAAAUGAAUUCCUGCAUAUAUAUACGCAUGCAGGGCAAAUCAUUUUAUACAUCCUUCUUAAGAAAGUAAUCCACCAAGGCCAUGGCUUCCCACAUCUUUCUCUUUUCCACACCUUUUUUGGUUUUUUCCUUACUUGCUUAUGCUUCCUUCUUUGCUUCUUUUGCUUACUCGGCUAGUACCGGAGCUGCUGAAGUUGCAAAUGGAAGGAAGGAAGCGGAAGCUCUUCUAGAAUGGAAAGUCACUCUUGACAACCGAAGCCAGUCUCUCCUGUCUUCUUGGGCUGGAGACAGCCCUUGCAACUGGUUCGGAAUCAGCUGCAACAAGUCUGGUAGUGUCAGCAACAUAAGUCUGCCCAAUUCUAGUUUGAGAGGUACGCUUAAUAGUCUCAGAUUCUCUUCCUUUCCUAACUUGAUUGAGCUUAUCCUUCAGAACAACUCGCUCUAUGGGUCCAUUCCUUCACAUAUAGGUAACCUUUCUAACCUCUCCAUCCUUGACUUGUCUUUCAAUAGCAUUUCUGGCAACAUUCCACCAGAAAUUGGAAAUUUAGAAUCUCUCACUAUUUUAGCUUUGUUAUUUAAUAAACUAAGUGGUACAAUACCGAUAUCUUUAGAAAAUUUAAAAAGUUUAUCUCAACUUUACCUUAAUCAUAAUAAUCUUUCUGGUCCGAUUACUUUUAUUGGAAACCUGACGAGAUCUCUCACUCAUUUAAUUUUCUCAUCUAAUAAAUUAACCGGUACAAUACCAGCAUCUUUAGAAAAUUUAAGAAACUUAUCUGAACUUUACCUUUAUAAUAAUAGUCUUUCUAGUUCCAUUACUUAUAUCGGAAACCUGACAGGACCUCUCACUAUUUUAGAGUUGUCAUAUAAUAAACUAACCGGUACAAUACCGUCAUCUUUAACAAAUUUAAAAAGCUUAUUUGCACUUUUCCUUGCGGGUAAUAAACUAACUGGUACAAUACCAAGGUCUUUAGGAAAUUUAACAAGCUUAAGCAUCCUUUCCCUUGCCGAUAACAAUCUUUGUGGUCCGAUUCCUCCAGAAAUGAACAACCUUACACAUUUGUAUGGGUUACAAAUAAUUUCUAAUAGAUUGUCUGGUAAUCUACCACGAGAUGUGUGCCUUGGUGGAUUACUUUCAUAUUUUGGUGCGUUUGACAAUUAUUUCACGGGACCUAUCCCGAAAAGCUUGAAAAAUUGCAGCAGCUUGGUGAGACUCAGACUUGAGAGAAACCAACUUAGUGGAAACAUAUCUGAAGCUUUUGGCACACAUCCUCAUUUGAACUACAUGGAUUUGAGUGAUAAUGAAUUGCAUGGUGAACUUUCAUUGAAAUGGGAGCAGUUUAACAAUCUGACAGCCUUCAAAUUUCUGGUAACAAGAUUUCUGGAGAGAUACCAGCAGCUCUUGGAAAGGCAACUCAUCUACAAGUUCUUGACCUGUCGUCAAAUCAACUAGUUGGGAGAAUUCCCAAAGAAUUGGGAAAUUUGAAGUUGAUUGAACUUGCACUCAACGAUAACAGACUUUCAGGUGAUAUUCCUUUCGAUGUCGCAUCGCUAUCUGAUCUCGAAAAGCUUGGCCUGGCCGCGAACAAUUUUAGUGCAACAAUUCUUAAACAGCUUGGCAAGUGCUCAAAACUGAUAUUCUUGAAUAUGAGCAAGAAUAGAUUCGCAGGGAGUAUUCCUGCUGAGAUGGGGUCUUUACAGUCUCUUCAAAGUCUUGAUCUCAGUUGGAAUUCCCUCAUGGGAGGUAUAGCACCGGAGCUUGGACAGAUGCAGCAGCUAGAGGUAUUAAACCUCUCCCAUAAUAUGCUGUCUGGUCUAAUUCCAACCAGUUUUAGUAGACUGCAAGGCCUCACUAAAGUGGAUGUAUCCUAUAACAAGCUAGAGGGCCCCAUUCCUGACAUCAAAGCCUUUCGCGAGGCACCAUUUGAAGCAAUUCGCAACAACACCAACCUGUGUGGCAAUGCAACUGGUUUGGAGGCUUGUUCUGCUCUCAUGAAAAACAAAACUGUGAACAAGAAGGGCCCCAAAGUUGUCUUUUUGACAGUAUUCUCUCUGCUGGGUAGUUUGUUGGGCCUGAUUGCAGGUUUUCUUAUCUUUUUCCAAAGCAGAAGAAAGAAAAGGUUAGUGGAAACACCACAAAGAGAUGUUACCGCGAGAUGGUGCCCUGGUGGGGAUCUGCGCUACGAGGACAUCAUUGAGGCUACUGAGGAAUUCGACUCCAAAUAUUGCAUUGGUACUGGAGGGUAUGGAGUUGUAUACAAAGCUGUACUUCCAUCAGAACAAGUCCUUGCCGUGAAGAAAUUCCACCAAACACCAGAAGUUGAGAUGAGCAGCUUGAAAGCUUUUAGAAGCGAGAUUGAUGUCUUAAUGGGUAUACGGCAUCGGAAUAUUGUGAAGCUGUAUGGUUUCUGCUCGCAUGCCAAACACUCAUUUUUGGUAUAUGAAUUUGUGGAAAGGGGAAGUUUAAGAAAGGUACUGAACGACAAGGAACAAGCAGGAAAGAUGGAUUGGGAUAAAAGGAUGAAUCUUAUCAAAGGCGUAGCCAAUGCUUUAUCCUACAUGCACCAUGACUGCUCCCCUCCGAUUAUUCAUAGAGACAUUUCCAGCAACAAUGUUCUUUUGGAUUCAGAAUAUGAGGCUCAUGUCUCUGACUUCGGCACAGCCAGGCUCUUAAUGCCUGACUCGUCCAAUUGGACAUCAUUUGCUGGCACCUUUGGGUACACAGCUCCAGGUAUGUAGUUAAGUUUCAAUAUCACCUUCUACAGUAGGUUAGUUUACAAAAUCACUUGAAAACAAAUAUAGCAUGACCAGCCUCUUUUGCAGAGUUGGCAUACACAAUGAAAGUGGAUGAAAAAUGUGAUGUUUAUAGCUUUGGAGUAUUAACAUUGGAAGUAAUGAUGGGAAAGCAUCCUGGCGAUUUCAUCUCAUCUCUGAUGUUUCUGCCUCCACCUCCUCAUCAUCACCAAUUGGUCACAAUACAGUCUUGAAGGAUGUCUUAGACCAGCGCCUCCCACCUCCUGAAAACGAGCUUGCGGACGGUGUGGCACAUGUUGCAAAACUGGCGUUUGCUUGCUUGCAGACCGAUCCCACUAUCGGCCAACAAUGCGACAGUUUCUACAGAGCUUACAACUCGAUGGCCUCCAUUGCCAAAGCUAUUCUCCACGAUGGAAUUGGAAGAUAUAAU